RNAcentral lists this long non-coding RNA (69971 nucleotides) under Solanum tuberosum (potato). Its description in RNAcentral is "long non-coding RNA (STUB_LNC005366)". Lineage: Eukaryota; Viridiplantae; Streptophyta; Magnoliopsida; Solanales; Solanaceae. The record is from RNAcentral.
UUUUUUUUUUUGUGUGUGAGUGUUUUUGUUUCUGGGUUUAGUUAAAGAUUGGGAUUGUGUUGGAUGUUUUUGGUUUCUUUUGUUGUUAAAAAUUGAAGUUUUGGGUGUUUUUUGUUUCUGGGUAUAGUUAAAGAUUGGAUUUUCAUGGAUGUUUUUGGUUUCUUGUGAUGCUAAAGAUUGAUUUUUUUUGGGUGUUUGGUGUUUCUGGGUAUAGUUAAAGGUUGUUUUUUUGGUUCUUAGUUUUUGGAUAUAGGUAAAAGACUGAUUUUUGGUGUUAGUGUGUUUUUGGUCUCUGGUUGUAGUUAAAGCUUGGAUUGUGCUGGAUGUUUUUGGUUUCUUGUGUUGCUAAGGAUUGAUUUGUUUCUUUGUGGUGUUUGGUAUUUCUGGAUGGUGUUGAAUAGUUAAAAAAUGAUUUUUUUUGGUUUUUGUUUUUUGGUGUGGUAAAGAUUGAGUUUUUGGUUUUAUUUGCUAAUGAGUCUUCCUUGAGCCAAGGGUCUAUCGGAGACCACCUCUCUACCUCCCAAGGUAGGGGGUAAGGUCUGCGUACACUCUACUCCUAUGUUGCUCGUACUCUCCAUAAAUGUUGCUGCACCAUGUCGUAUCCUCCAAAGAUGCACUACUUUGGAAGGAUCUGACACGCACCAUCGGCAUUCAUGAAGAGUCCAAGCAACAUAGCUCUACUCUCCCCAUAGUGGGAUUGCAGAGGUAUGUUGUUGUUGCUAAUGAGUCUAGUUGAAGAUCAAAUGUUUUUGGUGUUCUGUUUUCAGGGGUAUAGUUAAGAUUUGAACUUCUUUUGGUUUUUGAAUAUAGUUGCAUGGUUGGUAAGGAUCAUAUAGCCAACCCCAACUUGCUUGGAAUUUGAAGCAAAGUAAUUGUUGUUGUUGUUCGAGUUGGGAUUGAGGCGUAGUAGUACUAGUAAUUGUCGUUUCUCUGUAGUUAGUUCCCUUUUAUGGGGUUUUUAUUUGUAGUCAAAGAUGGAGUUUUGAAUGUUGUUUUGUGUUUGUGAAGGCAAAAGUUGUGCCGGAUGAGUAUGAUGAACGGACGUACUGUGUAUAUGGAACGGAUGCUUCUACAGCCUAUGGAUUGGCGGCAUUUGGGUUGCUUCUGAUUAGCCAAACGUUGGUCAACGGCAUUACUAAGUGCUUGUGUUUUGGAAGAGGAAUGAUGGGUGGUAGUUCUACUACUUGUGCCAUUUUCUUCUUUGUCUUCUCCUGGUAAGAACAUAGUUACUGUUCUCUCUCUUACUUUAGUUUAUUUACAUUCUUUUGUCUGGUUGUAGUGCGCUUAGCCCCUUGAGUUAACAAAAUAUUCACGUGAUUUAGGCAAUACAACAACAACAACAACAACCCAGUGAAAUCCCACUAGGUGGGGUCUGGGGAGGGUAAGUAGUACGCAGACCUUGCCACUACCUCGUGGAGGUAGAGAGGCUGUUUCCAAGAGACCCUCAGCUCAAGAACAUCAAAUCUAAGUGACAGGAGAGAUAUAUGCAACAUAACAGCCAAUACAAAAGAUAGCGUAUAAUCAACCAAUGAGACAAUAACAAGAAAGAUACAGGGAGUGAAACGCAGUAAACAGCAAAAGGCUAGGACUGCUCCAGACUUAUUAGCAAUUUAGAAGCUCAACGAAAUAAAUUAGAAGAAAGGAGGGACAAAAAUUGGUGUCAACACCCUCUACCGCCAUUACCUCGCACCUCCUCACUGGGGCGUCUGCACUCCGUCUCUUCACAUGUCCAAAUCAUCUCAGUCUCGCUUCCCUCAGCUUGUCCACCACAGAGGCCACUCCCACCUUCUCCCGGAUAACCUCAUUCCUAAUCUUGUCGCUCCUAGUGUGCCCACACAUCCAUCUCAACAUCCUCAUCUCCGCAACAUGCAUUUUAUGAACAUGUGCGUUCUUAACUGGCCAACACUCCGCUCCAUACAACAAGGCCGGUCUAACUACCACUCUGUAGAACUUACCUUUAAGUUUCGGUGGAAUUUUCUUAUCACACAAUACUCCAGAGGCCAGCCUCCAUUUCAUCCAAGCAGCCCCAACGCGAUGUGUGACAUCCUCGUCGAUGUCGCCACUCCCUUGGAUUACAGCCCCAAGAUACUUAAAACUUUCCUUCUUAGGAAUGACUUGUGCGGCAAGUCUCACUUCCAUAUCUGUCUCAUCCAACACAUCGCUAAAUUUGCACCCCAAAUAUUCUGUUUUGGUCCUACUCAACCUGAACCCUUUGGACUCCAGCGUUUGUCUCCACACCUCCAACCGCGCAUUAACUCUGUCCCGCACGUGAUUUAGGCAAUGAGAUUGUUUAUGUUGAUUGGCUUAAUUGUUAUUUGUUAGUUUAAGAUUGGUACUUCUGCAAUUAUAAACUAAUGAAGGCAUCAUAUCUUGUUGAAACUUAAUCUUGCCAUAGAGUAACCGUAUGUUGGAUUUAUUGGAGACUCAUAGGUGAAGAAGCCCGAGGAUGAUUUUGUGACAAAGAAGAAUGAAAAAGGUUCAACUGUAAUUUACAGAUGGAAAAACAGAACUAAAAAAAAAACUAGAAAGUCUCGUGUGAUUAUGUUAGUACUCCCUCCGUCCCAUUUUAUGUGGCACCAUUUCCUUUUUGGUCAGUCCCAAAAAGAAUGUCACAUUUCCUUAUAUGGUAAGUAUUUAAAGGUACAAUUCUUCUUUUACCCUUGUUGGUCCCACUUAAUCUUAAAAUAAUACUCCAAUACAUUUAUGAGGAGAGAGAAAAGUGAGUCUACUUUUUAAAGGGCAAUUUGGUAAACAUUUCAAAGUCUUCAUUUAUUUCUUAAACUCCGUGCCCCGUCAAAUGUUGCCACAUAAAAUGGGACGGAGNNNNNNNNNNNNNNNNNNNNNNNNNNNNNNNNNNNNNNNNNNNNNNNNNNNNNNNNNNNNNNNNNNNNNNNNNNNNNNNNNNNNNNNNNNNNNNNNNNNNNNNNNNNNNNNNNNNNNNNNNNNNNNNNNNNNNNNNNNNNNNNNNNNNNNNNNNNNNNNNNNNNNNNNNNNNNNNNNNNNNNNNNNNNNNNNNNNNNNNNNNNNNNNNNNNNNNNNNNNNNNNNNNNNNNNNNNNNNNNNNNNNNNNNNNNNNNNNNNNNNNNNNNNNNNNNNNNNNNNNNNNNNNNNNNNNNNNNNNNNNNNNNNNNNNNNNNNNNNNNNNNNNNNNNNNNNNNNNNNNNNNNNNNNNNNNNNNNNNNNNNNNNNNNNNNNNNNNNNNNNNNNNNNNNNNNNNNNNNNNNNNNNNNNNNNNNNUAUUUAAAGGUACAAUUCCUCUUUUACCCUUGUUGGUCCCACUUAAUCUUAAAAUAAUACUCCAAUACAUUUAUGAGGAGAGAGAAAAGUGAGUCUACUUUUUAAAGGGCAAUUUGGUAAACAUUUCAAAGUCUUCAUUUAUUUCUUAGACUCCGUGCCCGGUCAAAUGUUGCCACAUAAAAUGGGACGGAGGGAGUAUAUUUUUUGUAUACUUUGUGUUGUCUGAAAGGCACAAAAUCUGUUUAACCUUUUUCUCCGUAGUUGGGUGCUAAGUAUUCCAUAGUUUCAUUGGUCACCUUACUCUUCCUGUCUGUUUGCACCAUUUGAUGAGGUUCUGUACCCCUUCCUUUCUUUCACGGUUUAGAUUUCAUUUUGUUUGAGCCAAAAUGGUGCCACUAGAUAAAUUCUGAUCUUUAUAGCAUGCAUUAAGGUGUGAUCGUACUUGUGUAAUAGGUAAAGAAAUGCUCAAAACCGACAUCUUUUUUUUGAGAUAAAAAAAAAGUUAUAUUGGUUUUGAGCAUUUCUUUACCUAUUGCACAAGUACGAUCACAACUUAGUGUGACGCUAUAAAGGUCUUUUUCACCGAGGAAAUUGAUUCAUUAAGUUGUUUGUAAGUAGCUGUGACACCUGUAACAGGUGCAAACCAUUAAUGGAUCUUUGAAUUGCCACUUGCCCAAUCUUAUCUGCACUAAAAUAAGUGGUUGAAUAGAUAAAAAUAAUGAAAAUAUUUGAAGUUCCGCUGAGAUGAGUUUUGACUUCUUUUUUUGUACAACAGUUUUAGUCUGGUUAUCUCAUGAUGUAUGUAUACACAAGUUAAUUAAGAACAAACACGAAAAGUAAUUUCCAUAUAUAUUGUAACUGAAUUUGAAAGAGGAAACUUCAACAAUCUGUGAUGAUGGUUUUUUGCCCUUCGGAAGUAACUUUCAGCCAGUUCUGCUUAGUGUUUGCUUUGCUUUUGUGUUCAGUUAGGCAGGGGUGGAGCUAGUGUGGAGCGUACGGGUUCGGCCAAAUCCAAUAGCUUUAGUCCAAAUUUUAUAUUUUUUUCUUUAGAAAUAUGUUAAAUAUGUACAAAUUAUUUAGUUUAGAACCUAUUUACUUGAAAGAACUAGAAUUCCGAACCCAUAAGCUUUAAAACCUGGCUCCACCUUUGUCGGUUAGUGUUUCUAAAUUAGGAGAGAGAUGACAACAACAAUAUACCCAAUCUAAUCCCACAAGUGGGGUCUGGGAGAGCGGUGUGUACGCACACCUUACCCCUACCUUGUGAAGACAUAGAAGCUGUUUUCGAAAGACCCUCGGCUCAUGUAAAUUCUACCACUAGUUAGAUGGAGUUGGCAUGAAUUAUUUAGGUCUGAUUAGAGCAGAUUGAUUCAUACCAUCGACCCCUACUUUCUUUGGGAGUAAGGUGUAGUAAUAUCGUUGUUUGAUGGACUUAGAGACAAGUAAAACAGUUUGUUUUAGACAACUAGCAUACACACUGCCCUAGCAUAAACACAGAUGGUUUUGAUGGCGAUGAUUGAAUGUGAUGACGAUAUGUGAUAUCUAGUUUAGAUAGUUGGCUAGUGCAUGAGGCUAUUCUCAUUGGUUUCGAUGUUGACGUGGUGUUUUUGGUAGUGGAUAAAAGCAACAAAAGAUUUAAUGAACAUUUGUAUGUAAAAGAACAUAAAGUGAUACUAAGAUGCCAAAUUGAAAUUUAAUAAUCCAUUACUUGAAAAUUGAAAUGAUGAAGACGUUAGUUAAAAUGCAAACAAUAGGCAAAAGACCUGUUAAAUAAACAUAUGAAGAAAUAAGAAUACAUUCAACUUUGUUCCCCAGAAAAUGAUUCACUCUUGUUUGGCCAUAGUUUUUGAAGAUGAAACUUGAAAAUUUCAGUUUUUGAUGUUGUAAUUUUUGGAAUUUGAAGUUGUAGAAGUCCCGAAAAUCCAAAAACUAGUCGAGCCACUUUUGGAAACUUGAAAAAUACUUGAAUAUGCCGUCAAAUUUCAUGGCCAAACAGAUAUUUGAAGAUAAAUGUCAAAAACUACUCCCAAAAUCUAUUGCCAAACGCUAGCGGAAAAAAUGAGGAGGGAGCAAGGGAGAGGGGAGUGAGAACACUAACGAAGUUCUCGGAGAUAUAUACUUUCAUUACUUUAUACACAUUUCUUCUCUAUCACGUUCUUUUUACCUUUCGGCUCCCACAGUCUGGCCAUUGCCACGAUAGUUACUUUUUCAGUAAAUUCAUUUAGCAAAGCUGUUGAUCUUUUUUUAAUCCCCCUGCUUAACCUCCCUAUCUAAAACAGCCAUGGAAACUUGAUGGCAGUAGGAUUAUAAAAAUCUAUUGCUUACUUCCUCUUUUGAAUGACAAACAGGGUUAGCUUUUUAGGAGCAGAAGCAUGCUUAUUGGCAGGAUCAGCAAAGAAUGCAUACCAUACAAAGUAUCGCGCAGCUUUCCAAGUUGAAAGCUUGUCAUGUGCCACCCUCCGAAAAGGUGUAUUUGCUGCUGGCGCUGCCCUGACCUUACUAUCAAUGAUCGGAUCCAUUUUCUACUACUGGAAACACUCAAAGGCUGAUACCGGUGGAUGGCAAAAACACCAAAAUGAAGGACUUGGAAUGGCAGCAUCUAACUACACCGAAUCUACUGAAAGAAAGGGCUGAAUCCGUGUUUCUUCUAAAAGGUCCGUUACAUUUACAAAUCGAACAAGAUGUUUCGAUGAGGAACUUAAACAUGAAGAGUUCUAGUCCUUGGUUUGGUUUUGUACCAUCCAUAGUUUACAUACAUAAUAUAUAUUAUAUAUGAACGUAGUUCGUAGGAAUUUAAGUAAAUUCGUAUUAAGCAGCAUUCGCGUCCACGUUGUGUUUGUAAUAGCUUUUCUGAGGAGGUUAUUAUAGGUUAUGAGCUCUAUGGUUUUCUUGGUAAUGAACUUGAAAAAGGGUACAAUUUUACAGUUUGAAUCAAUUUUCUGCAGUUUAUUUUGUAAUUCUAUGUAAGUGAACAAACUAUGAAAUGAAAGAAUGGUAUUCAGUUUCCUUAUUAUUUUUUUUUGAAUUUGUUUCGAUAGAAUGUUCAUUACUUUGUGUAGAUUUUGAGUGCUACAAUGUUUGUUCAGAUGUAACUCUGUUUGUAUGAGCUUGCUCAUAUUGCUGGUCUCAAGUUUGAAUAAAGGAGGAAGGUUAUAGUAGGCUAAUAACCAGCGUAAAAUUUGUCAAUUCAUGAUGAAUCCUCGUAAUAUUUGUGUUUGUUGUAUAUAUUGAGAGUUAUGAUUUCUCAUGAUAUAGAAUGCAUUAACCUACAAAAAGAAUAUGGUAAAUUAGGUGAUAUAUACAACACAUAAAGCUCAUAAAAUGGCAAAAUUUUGAUGAAAAAUACUUUUAUAAAUAUUUAGAUGUUUCAUCAAGCCAACGGGUUCUGAAUGAUCUCCCUUGUGCUUAACCAUCUCGAAAAAAUAAUAAUCAUAUAAUCCGUUUGAAAAACAUGUCCGAGUUACAAAAUAUAAAUUUCUUGCUCAAGUCUUCUCACAUUAUAUUCCUAGCUUGGUUUGGACAUGGUAAUUGUCUAUCUACAAUCAAUUUCAUCUAACCAUGAAGAGGUAUUAAUUGUUCGAUGGAUAAGAUAUCUUUAUCUUAACCAGAGAUCUCGGGUUUAAAUUUGGAGAAUGAAAAACUCCCCGUAGGCAACACUUUCCCAUUAAUAAGACCUACACAAUGUGAAUUCAGAUUAGUCGAGCCAAGUGGUUGAGAUAUAUGAAAUAUCCCUUCUUGAUGUUGAACUAAUUAUUGUAAUUUGUACUAUUAAUCAUGGGUUAACAAAGCUUAAUUAGUUGGUUAGAGACAAAAAAAUGAAUGAAAUAACUCAUAAUAGAAGACAUCAUCAAAAAGCACAUUUGCUAUUUGAUCAAACAUAUUUUUCUUGAAGAAAACUAGAAUUACAACAACCAACAUUGGUAAACUUAUAUUAUAUUACCUAAGAGUAACAUUUUUAAGAUAAUUAACUCCAAACAUUAACACCAACAUUAAUAUAUUACUAAUUGAAGUACAACAAUAAGGAUAUGUUACACUCUUCGACAACAAGAAAAUACACAUCUUAGUUAUAUCUUAAACAUAAAAAGCUAAUUAUAGAAUACAACAACAAUGUAACAACUACAUACGCCUUAGUCCCAAAUAAGUCGGAACUGACUAUAUGAGUACUCCUCACUGACCAUGUUACUCCAUAUAAAAUCAUCUUAGCCCAACAUUAAAGGCUAAUUAUAGAAGACAACAAACAACUACUACAUAAACAGGUAGGGGUCGACUAUGACUCUUCAGUACUGGUCGUACCAUGUUACUCCAUAUAAACUCGUCUUAGGCCAAUAUUAAAAGGCUAAUAAUAUAGAAAUUGGGCAUUAGUAUUCUUAGCAAUUUGGGAAAGGGGAACCACAAGUAGAAGCAACUUUCUUGGCAUUAGGAGAAGAAAUCAUCUUUUGAAGUCUUGGAUCCUUCAUGUAUUUGCAAAGACAUGGCCUUUGUUCUUUCAACUUUGAGCAACAAAUUGAACUUGGAGUUGUGGAUGAUGUUAUGGCAUUUGCACAUGCACUUAGUUGCAAUGGAUUGCAACUCACAUAUGCUUUUGUUACCUUAGUUUCUUGAACAAAAACCAAAAAAAGUACAAUUGCAAAAAUAGCCACAAACCUCAUUGUCAUUUUGGAUGAUCUAGUGUGUGUGUGUAUGUUUGUGUGGUAAGUGAUGAGAGUAUUUUUAUGUUGUUGUGUGUGUUGUGAUGAAUACAUUGACAUGUAAGCUCUAUUUAUAGAAGGGGAAGGUCAUAGGCAUCCAAACACUACUAAAAAAAUCACUAUUUUCACAUUGAAAUUUUCCACUAAAAAAUGUUCAACGACUAUUUUCACAAAUAUUUUGAUUGAAUCAGUGAGAAAAGAAAAUAAAAAUAGUAGUGUUUGUCUACGACAAAAUUAGGAAGUUUCCCGACAUUUAAGUGAGAAUCUGUUUUCCACCAUGUGUUUUACCAGUGAGCUGUUUUGAUGAGAAAUAAGUGGGAAAAUCAUGUUUUAUAGUAUAAUUUUUUCCAUUGAUUUAUUAAAAAACCCUUUGUUUCUAGUAAUGAAUUUUUUAUGUUUGACGAGUUCAAGUUUUAAGGCUUUUAGUACAGAUGGAAUAUCGUAUUUUAAAAUUUAUAGGUUCAUAAUUUUAUAUUAAUCCAAACUUAAUGAGUUUUCAUGUUUAUAUCUAUGUUUCGUGUAAAAAAUAUUAAGUAAUAUUUUUAAGUCAUAUAAGUUAAAUAUAUACCCAAAAAGUAAAAUAAAAAGAAGAUUUUCUUUUUCUCCCCUCCACCUUUUUUUCCCUUAAUCAUGUGCUGGGUUAAUUAAAGUAAACUAAGGAUUUAUUUUUAACAAAUCAUUUGAUUCUUUCCACUUUUUAUGCUAACAAAGAGUAUAUUAUAUAAAAACUAUAUAAUACUGUUCUUGAAUUUUUUUAUUUUUUGGUUUUGUGGAUUUACACUAUAAAAAGAAAAUAAGAAUUAGCGAUGGAUAGCAUCUGUCGUUAAUCCUCUUUUAGCAACAAUUUAAGAAAAAAAUAUUAUAGCUAUUAAAUAUUUAGCAAUAGAUAAACGAUAAAUUUCGUAGUUAAUCUCCCUAGCUGAAUAUAUGUAUAUCUAUAAGUAAAAAGUGGACUAGAUUUAGCCAAGUAUAUAAGUAGUUUAAUUUGAUAUUUUAGAAAAUGAAGGGCUUUAAAGUUAAUUUUUGGAAAUCAACAAAAAUUCAUGUGCAUUACAUAAACUCGCUCAUGUACAAUAAUUUGCAAAUCACAUAAAAAGAUAAAUUUUAUUAGAUAAAAUUUGACAUGACAAACACAACUGAGAAGAUGUCGAUAGAGAUUUUAAAGUUACUCACACAUUAUUAGUAAUAAUAUCGGCAUGCUUACCAUUAGUUGAAGCUAUCAUAACAAUCAUGAGUUAUGAGCAAAUAUUAUGAAUCAAUAAAAGCUUUUUAUUUUCACCCUUUUUUAUGUGGUCCUAUUCUUUGGUCGACCGGAAUUAGAAACAAAUUUAAAAUUUAUGAAUUCUGAAUUCUAAUCCUUUAAAAUUAUUAUAUUUUAAUACAAAUAUAAUACUUGAAUCAAAAUAUUGUGUUAUAUCGAAAUCCCUUAUAUAUAUGGAAUUGUAUUGAAAGGUUAUUUGAUGUAAGUGUUGCACGAUAAAAAAUUAUUAACACCUGAGGUUUAUAUUUUAAUCUUUAUUCAGAUAGAUGAAAAAAAUUAAUUAAUAACAUAUGAGUUCAUCCAAUCUUAAUAACUUUUGAUUAAGACUCUCUAUAUAUAUUUUGUAAAAAAUCAUCAAAAAUGAAUACAAAUAAUAAAGUUGUACCCCAAUAAAAAAUUAUAUACAUUGUAGAGCAUGUGACAAUUAUUUGCUCUUUCUAAAAUGUCUUGAUUUUAUAAACAGAUUAAAAAGGAAAGAAAGAUAUAUAAAAUGAAAUGUAUAAAACAUUUAUAGGCGUCAAUAUUUGAUGAUAUGUAGCAUUUUUCUUUAUAUUGUGAUUAAUAAGUCUGAGUUAACGAGAUAUAUGUCUCCCCAAGUAUUAUUUUACUUCCUGAUCAUAGUUAAAACUAUUCCUUAGUGAUUAUUUAUCUUUCACUACCCGAGACCUCUAGAAAGAAAACAUUCUUUGACGAGAAAAUUAUUCUUGAUCUAUUUUUAACUUCGAUUUAUAACCCUCAGAAACUCUAACAGUGGAUUAUAUUUCGAUGAUUAAUAUUUGAAAGCCGAGAAAACACUAUCGACAUAAAAAAACUUAAUAGUCCAAAUGAUUAUAUAUAUACACACAAACCUCAAUCAGAUUUAUCGACUAUAAAUAUUCAGACCAAAGGGAAAUAGAUGAAGACCUCGAAGACAACACCAUUGAAAUAACAAUAAACAUGAAAGGAAUGAAUAUUCAUAUAUAUAUAUAUAUUUAUAUAUUUACGUGAUAUUAACAUCGAGUGCGAAUAAAUAUUUGAGCUAACAAUAGUGUCUCCUAAUCAUGAAGAAGUCAUUUUUUUUCGGUGAUGUGAUCCAAUCCAUUAACUUUUGGGCAAUGGCAUGCGCCUACGAUAUAAUAUAACACUUUAUUGUUGUCCUAUUUUAUUUUAAGUCAACAUCAAAUAUGAUUUCAUCAUUAUAUGAAGGGCCCAAUCUUGGCAUGCAUUACGUACAAAAAUUCUUUCAAUAUUAAAAAUAUACUAUAUAGUAUAUAUACGAUUCAAAUGCACAAAAUAUCUUGUGUUCAUGUAGGAUGUGAAAAGAUCCGUACCCUUUAGUAGUAUAUAUGACUUUAUAAUGUAUGAAGUAUCUUGUGUUGCACGAUGAGAAAAAAUCGCAUCCUAAGAGGGAACGUAAUGUUAGGUCCAUAUAUAGUCUAUAUAUUCUGAAACAAACCUAUGACACAUAUAUAGGUCGCACGAAUACACCUUUACCAUAGCUUUGACGAUUUCCUUCGAUGAGACUUAAUCGUUAAUGUUGGUAAAAAAAAUUUAUGACUAACACGUGACAAUAUAUCAUUAUAUAAUAUCAAGAGGCAUGAUAAGAUCUUGAGUUUGAGUUCGAGUACUGAAAAUACAGAAACUUCCGAUAAAUAAUGCUUUUUCAUCUGCGCGACGUGAAUCUGAAUUAGCGAUCUUAGGUUAAAAAAGCAUAACUUCAACCCACCCCCCACUCCAAAACUUGAGUUGAAAUUCAAUGAAUAAACAAAUGCUUUUAAUUAAUUUUGGCAAUGAUUAGUCUAUACAAUAGUUUUUCACAGGACCUAAAAUGUACCAUAAAUAAGAAGAGUCAUUAAUGAUUACUUCAUAGUAGAAUUUUGAUACCCUAUAACUUUUGAUGAUUAAUAAGAUCACCACCAUCAAGGUAAAGUAAAAAUGUUUUUUGUUAAGACAAUUUAGUGGUCAAAGAUCUUAUCUAAAUCUUUGAUUAUAUAUUUUUAUAGAUAUAAAAAAGCCAAUAAAUAUGGAAACUUUUAUUGCAAAAUGUUGACAUUUAAGUCUAAUGUUCAGAUUGCAUAAAUAAAUUGGAAAAUGACAUGACAUUGAUCUAUGUCUUUGACUCAAUUACUUUAAAUUAAAUUUUACCAACAAAUUAUACAAAAAUAAAGCUAGCACUACUAAAAAGAAAAAAAAAAAAAGAUUUAGCGAUGGACAAAUUUCAUAAUUAAACAACAAAAUUCAUUGCUAACUCUAUUUAGUGGCGAAUUAGCAACAUAGUUUUAUUAGCUACGAGCGAAAUAACGCUUUUAGGACCUCUAUUUAAAAAAUAACCAAAUUGUAUAAUGUAUUUAACGUCAGUGCAGUCCAAAUGUCCAAUUCUAACCGGAAGACUGAAGUUUAAACUGUGGCUACCUAAUGCAAUAUCUGCCUGGUAUGAUCCGUUUGAUUCUAAAUGGGCCUACAAAAGAAAUUGGGCCUAGUUCAUAAUUUGGGUCAUUUGCACUUUUGUCCUAUUUUGUGUUGGUCUUAAAUUUUUACCCUUAAGGUAAAUAAUUUUUUUAUGGAACACAGGUUUAAAUUUCUGCAUCAUAAUAUUCCAUAGUUAUGCUUCACGCCCUUAAAGAACUUAUGUUCCCUAAGCAUAAGUUCGAUUUCUGGGAGUAAAAGUUAAAGAUCAACCUAUUUGGAGAACAAAAACUAAAGAGUAAUCCAUUUAAAUGCUAAAUCAUGCAAUUGCAGCCAGUAGUGUACUAAUGUAAAUUUUUCCUGUUUGGUACCGCUUUGGAGGUCUAGACUAAUUCAGAUUCACGUUGCAUACGACUGAUUAAAAAGACAAACACUUUUUAUUAGUGGCAGAAUGAGAAAUUUUACUGAGAGGUGUCAAAAUAUAAAACAAUAGAGAGACACGUAAAAUUGAUUCUGGCUAAACAACAUAAUUUAUACAUAAAAUCGCUCCUCCACUACUUCUUAUCAAGAUUUUUUUCAUUGUGAAAAUUUGAAUCUGAAACCUCUAAGUAACGAUGAAGAGAUUUCCUAUUCAUCCCACCACAACCUUCGCUGGUAAGUUAUACGUUAAAACAGACACACAUGCCAAAGAAGAUGAAUUAGUAAUUAUCUGAGACCUCUAAGUAACAAUGACGAGAUAUCCUAUCCAUCCCACCACGGUGGUAACCUAUAUGUUAAAACUCACACACAUGCCAAAGAAGAUGAAUUAGUAAUAUAAUGUUAUAACAACAAAGAAGCUAGCUAGCUUAGAUUUCUUAUGUGAAGCAAAACUUCAAUGCCAUGCUAAAGCUAUUCCUUUCUUUGCUUGUUGUAUUGUAUGUAUACUUACUUGUCUUCCAAAAUUUAGAAUUACAACAAACUAUAAAUAAAAUUAAAACCAUAGUACUUCUCUAUUAUAUUCAAACUCCAACAAGUUUCAACAAUAUUACUACUCAUAAUAAUUCAAUAUUGUUCAUAAAAUUCAUAAAACAAUAUGCCAAUUUAUUCUUCUGAUUCUGAUGAUCCACACCCUUCACAUUCAGCACCCACAAGAAGAUUUUUGGCUCAUAAUAGGCCAAUGCAUGCAAUUCUUGGAGGAGGAAAAGGUAAUAUUCAUUUAAUUUUUCUUCAUUUUGUUUAGAAGAGAGGCGGAUUCAGGAUGUUUUUGCGUGUUCAAUUGAAUUCAUUAUUUUCGAUCUGAACUAUGUAAACAAAUAUGUCUUUCACUUGAAGCAUGUUGGGCUAAUUAGUACGAAAAAAUUCUUAUAACAUGGUGUGAUAAUAUUUGUUUUGUGCAAAAUCGAUAUAAUCUUCUCCAAGAAGUUUAAAAUCAUUAAGAUUAUUCCAACACCGUAGAAAUAACUCCAUCUUGUUACUUUUUGGCCUUGUUUUUGAAAAAUAGAUACAUUAUUGUCACAUGAGUUUCAAAUUUCACGAGUGAGUACUGAUUAGGACAUGAUCUUGGGAGGUUUGGAAAUUUAAAACUCGAAGAUAUUGACUAUUUUUCAAUCACAAACAAGGAAAACUGAAAGUGUCUAUUUGCAAAUUUUAACCCUAGAUUUUUCUCAUUAAUUUUUAAUGUGAGACUUUGUUGAAACACUGUGUCUAGUUUUCUCAUGCAUUAGACCAUAUAUUCUAAAGAAAUUCUUAAUAUAGCGUGAUAAUGUCUGUUUUGAGUUAAAUUCAUAUAAUUUUCUUCAAAAACAACAUAUAUCAAUAAAAUUAUCCCUAUACUUUAUAUGUAACCUUUUUUUUUAGUUUUAAAAUUAUGAGACUUUAUUCGAACACCAAUAUAUAAGUCUAUAUUGCAUGUUAUUUCUUUGUUCUUUUUUAAUAAUAUGUUUUUUUUUCUUUCUUUUUUUUCUUUGACAGUUGCUGACAUAUUGUUAUGGAGAGACAAGACAAUAACAGGAUCAAUUUUAAUUGGAUUCACACUAAUUUGGUCUCUUUUUGAAGUUAUGGAGUAUAAUAUUGUGACUCUUUUGUGUCAUAUUUCCAUGAGCAUCAUGUUAAUUCUCUUCAUUUGGUCUAUGGGAGCUGGAUUUGUUGAUUGGUAAAUUUUCAUAAUAUAUUCUCGAAUUUAACUUAUAUACAUCGAUAGUAUAAAAAUAGUAUAUUAUUAGGUCAAUUUUAUCUAUUGUAAUAGAUAACUUGUCUUAUUCAUCCCAUCAGAAUUAUUGGUAUUACGUUGGAAAUUUCAAUUUGAGUACAGGGAUUCAUCUAUUUUUAUGAAGGGCUAUUUGAUGAUCUGAUAGUGUGAAAAAAUCAUAAUUUUUCAGGAAUCCUCCCGAUUUUCGAGCAUUUAUGAUAUCUGAUUCAACAUUUAGAUGGUUAUGUGGGAAAUUCAACUCUAUAUUGGUGAAAUUCUAUGAAAUUUCAUCUGGAAAAGAUUUCAGAAAUUUUUUCUUGGUACAUUUUUAUCAUAUGCAAUUUCAUUUAAUUCUUUUAUUUUUAUUUUCUAUUGAAAAUUUUGUUUUAACUCCAAUUUUUUUGGUUUAUUUGGACUUAGGCAAUCACUUUCCUAUGGAUAUUAUCAGUUAUUGGAAGUUACUUCAGCUCUCUGAAUUUAUUGUACCUAGGUAAGUUUUGGAAUUUGGAUUUUAUUUUUCUUUUAUAAUAUACUCCCCGUUUCAUUUUAUAUGAACAUAUUCGAUUAGACAUGAUUUUAAAUAUGUCAUGAUAAUUGUGUGAUUAUUAAAUCAUGCCAUCAAUGGGUAAAAUGAAUAAAGUUAGAUCUUUUUCAAAUACAGAAAUGUCACUCUUUUCAAGACAAACUAAGAAGAAAGGAAAUAAUCUCGAAGAAAAAAUGACACAUUCUUAUAUCUUCUAGAUUUCUCAUGAUUUCAGCCAUUACAACCUCAGAAACAUCACGACAUAUUUAAAAUCACAAAUUCAACAAGUCCUCCCCCCCCCCCCCCANNNNNNNNNNNNNNNNNNNNNNNNNNNNNNNNNNNNNNNNNNNNNNNNNNNNNNNNNNNNNNNNNNNNNNNNNNNNNNNNNNNNNNNNNNNNNNNNNNNNNNNNNNNNNNNNNNNNNNNNNNNNNNNNNNNNNNNNNNNNNNNNNNNNNNNNNNNNNNNNNNNNNNNNNNNNNNNNNNNNNNNNNNNNNNNNNNNNNNNNNNNNNNNNNNNNNNNNNNNNNNNNNNNNNNNNNNNNNNNNNNNNNNNNNNNNNNNNNNNNNNNNNNNNNNNNNNNNNNNNNNNNNNNNNNNNNNNNNNNNNNNNNNNNNNNNNNNNNNNNNNNNNNNNNNNNNNNNNNNNNNNNNNNNNNNNNNNNNNNNNNNNNNNNNNNNNNNNNNNNNNNNNNNNNNNNNNNNNNNNNNNNNNNNNNNNNNNNNNNNNNNNNNNNNNNNNNNNNNNNNNNNNNNNNNNNNNNNNNNNNNNNNNNNNNNNNNNNNNNNNNNNNNNNNNNNNNNNNNNNNNNNNNNNNNNNNNNNNNNNNNNNNNNNNNNNNNNNNNNNNNNNNNNNNNNNNNNNNNNNNNNNNNNNNNNNNNNNNNNNNNNNNNNNNNNNNNNNNNNNNACCCAAAAUCCAACAAGCCCCCCCCCCCCCCCCCAAAAAAAAAAAAACUCGUGACAUUAUGAUUCGUAUUAUGAAGGGUUUUUUUAAUACUAGUGAUUUUGUAAGUGGUCAAGAGAUCUGAAUUCAUCGAUUUAUUUUGAAUUGGUUUGUAGGAUUUGUUUGCCUAGCAACAUUACCAGCUUUAUAUGAAAGGUAUCAUAAUGAGGUGGAUUAUUUAGUAAGGCAAGGUAACCAAGAUAUGAAGAAACUAUAUAAUAAGUUUGAUACUGAAGUGCUCAAUAAGAUUCCAAGAGGACCUGUCAAGCAAAAGAAAAAGUUUUGAGUCAUUUCUCAAAAUUGGAAAGAAAAAAAAAAGUUCAAGAAAAUUGGCUGUGGAUUGUGUAUAAAUUAAAUUAAAUUAUGAAAAAAUGUAAUUGUAAUUUAUGUAAAUUGUUCAAUGAUGAAAGAAUUGUGUAUUUGUUUAUGUAACUACCUAUAUUUUGAUUACAUUAUUAUAUGAAAGUAAUAGGAAAUUGUCAAGUUUAUAUUUAAAUUUAGAAUUCUUUGGUUAAAAAUAAUGAAACUAUGGAAAAAUAUUUUUAAUAGAUUUCACCUGGAAAAAAUAUAAUAUUGAAAAUAAACCGAUGUUGCAUUUAAAUAAGAGAAAAAAUAAAUUCACAGUUUGAACUUUAUUAUUUUAUCUAAGAUAAUAUAAUUCAAAUAUUCUGCAUUCAUCGAUUUAACGUAAACAUCUAUGACAAAAUUGAUACUCUUCUAAUUGUUCUCUUAAUUAUGAGUAAUUAAUUAAUACAGCUGCAACAUCCUCUUUUAUGCCAAAAUCACCCUUACUUAUUUAUUUGUUACUUCAAUGUAACAAAGAGUCAAUUAUUCCACCAAUAUUUUCAAGAAAAAAAAGAACUAUAGAAAAUAAAAAAAAAUAGGUUACAAAAAAUCAAGAGUUUUCAUUCGAAUUCGAUAUUCGAUAUCAAGGCAAUUUUAUUUUGAGGACUCAAACUCAAGACCUCGAUUCGAUAUUCAUUCCAUGCAUAUUAAGGCUCAUGACUUAAUAGUGUGGAGGUGUCAUACAAGAAUGUGAAAAUCUAGAAGUUUCGAUGAAGUUAUCUUUUGUAUGCUAGUGGUUACAAUUUAAACCAAGUGUCCACAUGUCACUGGUCUUUAUUGAUGUUUCCAAUUUUCAAACCUAUAACCCUAAUAUGGAAGGGGUAUACUUUCCACCAUUUUUUUUCUUUCUAUUUUUGUUCUCAACGUCUAUCGAAAACAAUUUUUCUAUCUUCAUAAAAUAGAGGUAAGAAUGUCUCUUGAUACCCCACUUGUGGAACUACAUUGAAUAUGUUAUUUUUGUUCCCAACCCUUGAAUAAUUAGACCAUUAGGGGUCAUUUGGUGCACGGACUAAAUUAUCAUGAGAUUAUUAUUUCAAAAUCCGCAGCCGCUAUCCUUUGAGUGCGCACAGGAUAAAACCUCGUUCCUAUGCAAUAACUUGCAAACCAGACAAGAGAGGUAACCCGCACUAGGCAAGCCCUGUGCGACAAGCUCGACCACAUGAUAUGUAUUUAUAAAUGGAGGAAGUAGAUUUCUACAAAUAAAUUGUACUAUAUGAUUGGAAUUCACAUCAAAUUGUACAACAACUCACUCCAAGUUGUAACAUAUUUAGAAACAAGUUGACAAUAAAUAACUUAGUCAAAUAUGAAUAAAUAAAUAAAUUCAAGUCAUACUAUUAUUAUUAUUAUGUGAUGGUAGUGCAUGAGUAACUUUUUUUCGAAGAAAGAUGACAUGCUAUGAACUUUUUCGAGGCAAACGACCUAACUAAAGUUAUUAACAGAUAAUCCCAAAGAGUAUAUAGAAAUCAAGUUGUUGAACCCCUAAGUCUCAUGAAGGGUCAAUUAAAUAGUGGAUAAUCCCAUAAAUGUGAAUGCUCAUUAAUCAAUUACUAUAAAAUAGGCAGUUGCGAUGCUUAGAAGGCGUUUGGACAUGAUGUGGUUGAGAUUUGAGAAAAAUAAUAAUAUUUGACGUUGAAGUUGAAGGUGAAAUUUUCAUGGCCAAACGCCCCCUAAUCUCUCAAACUUUCCUAUCAAGCUCAACAACUUUUUGCCAUUGUGUGAAUCACAAACAAGAAUCUGUUCACACUACAUUUAGCCAUGUGCCCAAGUAUGCUACCAUUUGGAUAAGCACUACCUAAAAAAAUCAGAACACUUUACCUAAAACACAAGGAAGUUUAUUUUAACCACUCAUUAUCAAGUCUCCAACCAUCUUUAAAAGCCAUCACUUGAUAAGAGAAACUCAUUUUUUUGUGAUAAGAAAGUCUUGUCAAACUGCUCUUAUCAUAACACACUUGAAAAUAUCAUCCCUUAUAAACCACUCGGACAAAAUAUGGUUAGGGAAUUGAGAGCAACAGGAACAAGGGGUGUUGAAGAUAUAACAAAUGUUGGCAUUUGGAGUCUCUGGUUGAUGAUUUUGGUUUGCUUGUGUGUCAUUUCAACAAUCAUUUUCUCUUGUGCAGACGGUGUUUCUAAAGAGAAAGAAGCAACAACUCAUACCGAUAACUAUGGUGCUGGAUGUGGUGCAGGCUGUGGUGCUGCCUGUGGCGCCUGACUAGUGAAAAAGGAAAUAGUGAGAAUCAAAUCCACGCUUAUUGCGUGGAAGAUGACUCCCACUGAUACCACUAGACUAUAAGUCUUGCUGAGAAAUUUCUUUCCUUCUGCAUAUGCUCUACUUGUAAUGGGGGAGGGGGCGAGUGAUAGCUCGAUUACAUGUCAUUGUAAUACUUCGAUGGCAAUGUUCAAUUGUACAAUUCUUAGUCAGCUAUUUUUUCUGAGUAGACUGUAAGCAAUACCCCAGGAAACAUCAUAAUGAAGAAAAAAAAGGUUAAAUCAACGAUUUGGGUGUAAAAUCAACAGAAUCUGAUUAUGUUUAAAACCAAGAACUGUUUAAUAUACAUAUGUUAGUAAGGAAACUCAACUCAGAGAACAACAAUUCCACACAUUCUCAGUACUGUUGAAACUCGAAAGAGCCAACGAUGAAAAUGGAUAAAGCUUUCUGUUUUUUUCCUUUUUGGCGCUUAUUUUCAUGUUACAUAGAUAGAACUAAUUGUUUAAACGAAGCGAAGUACCAAUGCAGAUACCUGAGUGAAAAUGAUGCAAACGGCCUUACAAGAGUCCUUGAGUCUUUCGAAUUUCAGUGGAUGAUAUAUCUAUACGGAAUUUCUCGACUGGUAUAGGCACAAACAUGUCUUUUAGCUCUGCUGGGAUGUCGAAAUCCUCAAGAACCUACAGAAAUAGACAUGAUAUAGAAUUCAUAAGAGUUUUGAAAAGAUGAAGUGCUAGGCUGCAGAGAGUUUGUUAGUGUACCUUGAAAGUUCCAUUAACAUUUCGACCACCCACUAGGAAAGUACAUCCCGUGUUUUUACAUCCCAGAAGUAUCUCCAACAUCUUUCCAUAGUCAUUACCAUAGUACUUUGGCUGGAAAGAGCAACUUGCAAAGAUCAGUAAAUACACUUCUGGGAACCUUCCUAUUUAUAUAGCAGGUUAUCACCCCAUUUAUCAGCAAAGUUGAUUAUGCAAAAUUCAGAACCUAAAUCACAAAUAAGGAACACUUUUGGUAUUUCCGAGUACGUACUUUUGUUUCAUCUCCUUCGUAUAAACUUAAUCUAAUAUUUGAGUGCUAGUGUUUCUAUACAUGAAUAUAACUUGCAUCAGGUGCUAGUUAGGAGAUACUCUUAGAAACCAGCAGUAUAGCUGAAUGUUCUAUCACCAAAUUUGACAAAAAAAUCUCUUCCUCCCAAUAAUUGUAUUCCCAAACGUUUUAUUGAAUUUACUAAAUUCUUGAUCUCAUGUAAUCUCAAUUUUGUUUUAGCAAAUGAAAGAAGCUUACAUGCACAAGUCUUGCAACUGUGUCUGCACCAAUGACAAAAGCACUUCCAGGAAAAAGUUCUGCUUUCUUGUAAAAAUAUGGCUGGUUAGAUACUAUGACCGUCUUUCCUGCAUUUUCAAAGGCCGAAACUGUUGAAAUUUGCUUUAAGUCACUGCAAUAGUUAAGUAAUUUCGAAUUUUAGUUAAGUUGUUUGAGUUGUUGAGAUAUUUUAGGUUGUUUUAAAUUUCAAAUUAUGCAUAUUAUGUAUUUUAUGUUGGCUAUUCAAAGCCCUCAAUGCUUAAUAAAAUUAUUGAAAGCUAUUGAAAUCCAUUUCAAUCAAUUGAGGGAUAUUUCUAUCAAUUCUUUUUGCUGCCCCAUUUUUAAAAACACCAACAGAAACCAUUCAAACAUCAGCAUAUUUUGAAUAUGAAAACAGGGUAAGAAUGUAAUUGUUAGAAUAGGAAUAUGUAUACACAAUCCUAUGUUGGAAAGCCAGGGAGGAAAAAAGAGAUUGAAAAUAACGAAAACAAUAUACAACAUAAACUUCAUUCGUGCAUGACAUUGACAGAGGAAAAUGCAACUGAUUUUCCAACUAACUUGUCUUAUGGAAUAUCGUAACUUGACUGAAAGUUACGUGUGUCCUCUGUUAGUAACUACUGGUACAACCACAACAAAGAAAACCAUCUGAGAAGAAAACUUGUUUUACAGAGGUAAAGACUAGCAUUGACCAAUAAAUUCAUUCAUAGCUUGGUCCCGCUAGACGAGUUGACCACCCACUGCAUAUAAGAGUCUUGAUUCCUCUAACCAACUGAUAUUGAACAAGUUGCCCUCACAAUAAAUGCAGAGACAGAAAUGGCUGCCCAAAAACUAGUCCCAGUACUUGAUCAAACCAUCCCAACCACAUGUAGCAAUUUUACUUUGUUCCAGAGGAUGCCACUCUGCACCAAUACAGACCCCUUCAUGACACUUGAGAGUUCUGAAGGCCUUACACGAUUUCCAAUCCCAAAACCAGCAUCUGCCUUCACCAUCUCCUGACAAGACAAACCGUCCAUCUGGUGAGAAAUUGACCUGGCAUGCAUAACCAGCGACAAUGUGUCCAGCAAAUCUUUUCUUUUUAUUCAGCUGAAAUCUCUCUCGCGUACUAUAAAUAAGAAUCUGGUUAUCCAAACUUUGUGCUGCAAUCCAAUUCCCAUUUGGAUGGGGAGAAAUAGAUGGCAUGGAAUGCAUAUGGGGUUCACUUAUGUACUUAAUAACAACCGGAAUACCAUAUUCCCAAACACGUAGUGAUUUAUCAUCACUAGAGGUCACAAACCCCUAUUAUUAUCCACAAAGGUAAUUGUAUUAACUGCCCCCAGAUGUUGAUCGUACUCUUGUGUAAUCUGUCCACUGUUUAUAUCCCACUGCACAAUCUUCUUAUCACUCAUACCAGCCAAAAGCACAUUCUGCUUAUCCUCAUCAGGAUUAAGCCUCACCACAUAGGGUAUCUUACCCGUCGAGAACGUUUGAAUUACUUUUCCUGUUUCUGUAUCCCAAUACUUAAUGUGCUUAUCAUAUCCAGCUGUCAAAAACUUUGACCCGUCAUUGCUAAACCAAAUAUCCCUCACUGCCUUUGUAUGCCCCAUGUAAGUCCUCAUACAUUUUCCAGAAUUGUAAACAUCCCAAAUCUUCACCUUUGUAUCCAUCCCAGCUGACAAAAUCAAAUGACCAUGCUUAGGGAAAAACCUAAUAGCUGAAACCCCUUUCGUGUGUCCACUCCAAGUAUGAACUAAUCUCUUUGGUAUAAAACAAUGGUCAUUAGCAGCCUUUGCAUCCUUUGGUGGAGCGAUCCAAAACCUGCCCUGAUAAUCCUUUUCCUCUUUACCAUGAAAUGUGCUCUUUUCAACCAUAGGCUCCGCCUUAUCUUUAUCACCACCUCUUUCUUCACCCUUCUUCUUAGCAUAUUCCUCAGCAUACUUUUUCUGCUCCUCAGAUAAUUCCACUUGUAACCCUUCUUUCUUUCCAACCCAUGGACUCUUCCUGUUCUUCAUCAACCACAUGUCUGUGGACGGAUUAUCAACUUCCGUCAUAUCCACGUCCUGCUCAUCACCCUCCUCCUCCAUUUUUUCCUUCUUUUUCUCUAACUUCCUCUUCUUCUGUUCAUGCUGUGGUAUGUUAUACACAGAAAUAGCAUCACAUCCCUUCAUUUUUUCCAAAUCACCGAUGUAGCUAUUUUGAGAGGGAUCAACGGCAUACUCAUACUUCUGAAAAGUAUUGUACUGCUCGUCAAAUACAAAAGGAUUCAAUGGACGCGUCCUCAACGAACCCUAGCUUGUGAUUUCUGAGUCCUUGAGCUAACCCGUCCUUUGUGUACGGAUGAGCUGGGCCGUAAAUUGGUGCCCAUAGUUGUUCGUACAUCGAGUUGAAUCCAACGAGGUGUUGGGUCGGGUCAAGGGGUUUGGAUUGAGCUCUGGCAGCUUCGCUGGUGACUGUUAGGGCUAGCAUGGUGAUGUCAACUUUAGGGGCAGCAGAUUUAGAAGGAAGCAUUCGGAUUGGGGAAGAAUCAGGCGAAGAAUUUUGGUCGGAAAAUUGGGAAUUAAGGUUUUGUGGCGGCGAUUCAGCGAUUUCAUCGACGGGGUAGGAUUGUAAGAGAUCCAUAUUGGGAUUUGCAGAUAUGUGAAAAUCGGCAAUAUGUCACAACUCACAAUAUGUUUAUACUUAAUUGAGUACAAGCUCUGAUACCAUGUGAGAAAUAUAGGAGACGAGUAUUAUUGAAUUGUGUGUCUACAUUAUUACAUUGAAACCCUAUUUAUAGACAUUAAAUUAGACUCCUUUUCCUACUAGGACACUACAUUAUAAUCCUUUUUCAUCAAGUAGGAUACUAUAUACUAUUUACAUUCUUAUUCCUAUUCUAAGUAGGAUUGUAUAUACCUAUUCCUAUUCUAUUAGUACUAAUACUUAGAUAUGAAACCACUAUGGAUAAACUGUAGUGAAUGCAUAUACUUCUCUCGAAUUUCCUUUUCUUGUUUUCCUAUUUGUAUUGCAUCAAAGACUGAGUGGCGAUUUAUAGAUUAGUUUCUGGAAGGAAAUAACCUCAAAGUACAGUUUAGCAUUUUAAGCCUUUGAGAAGCUUGACAAAGAAUUUAAAAAACAGAUCAUUGUAGCCGUUUUUCAAUUCUUACUAUCUGUGUGUGUAAAGUAUCAUAUUUUAGAAUCUUACCAACUUUUCAACUCUUACUAUCUGUGUGUGUAAAGUAUCAUAUUUUAGAAUCUUACCAACUUUUUCAAAUUGUUUAACACGAUCAUUGAUUUGAGGUAUUUCCAAUGGAGGUUUGUCUGCAUUGACAGCUGACAACUCAAAACAUGGAUAUCCACCACCGCAAAUACUGCAUGAAAAAAUUUGGCAUUCUGCUAUAAGAUGUAAUUCCUUAAGUGAUAAACAGAUCUUUCGUGAUGCUUACAAAAAAUCAAUCUUUUCAAUAGUUGAAAACCAUGUUUGAUGUUAGAAAUGUGUACCUAGUUGCAAUUUCCAAGAGCUUAAGGUGACCAUCAUGCAAUGGAUUAAAAGAACCAGACAGGAUUAUUUUCCUCUCUACAUUAGACGUGUCUGCAAAAUUCCUGCAUCAACAUAUGCAGUGAAUUGUUGGCUUCGGAAUGUGACUAUGUUGAUUGCAUUAACACAUACCACUUGAGAAAGGAUACACUUUGAAGCAUAUAAUCCCACUGAGAAGUUGCUUUAGCUCUUCUUCUUCAUCAAAUUUCUUUUCAUAUUCAUCUGGAACUUCUGAUUCAGUCAAGUCUGGAACAAAAGUUCCUGGAACCUUGCUAGCAUUUGCAAUUGCCUGAACCAGAAGACAGAAGCUAAUAUAAUAAUCUACGGGAUGGAUUUGAUGAAAGUUCCAGCAUAGAAGAAUUAGCAAAUACUACUGAAUAAUGAGUCAAAGAGGAUCUACAGAAAAUUUCAACUGCAGACAGUUACCAUAAUUGUGAAGGAUAACUUUGUAAUAAUAUUUUUAUACAAUGCAUACUAUUUUUUUGACAAAGGUAACAGUUGUGUAUUAAUCUUCAGCACUAAAGGCUGGGAUCCCAAAUUUACAUCAUGGAGCUACAUACAGUUGCGAGUACUCAAAACAAAACAAAACUAGAACCUACUUCAACUUACAAAGAACCUAGGAUAUCUAUAACAACUAUAGGAUCAUCUACAUACUCCAAACUGCACCAAUAGCAAAAAGUGAUUAUGCAAUUCAUUUUGAUCCUGUGUAAGGGACUACUAAUACUCUCAAAGCAUCUCAUAUUUCUCUCCUUCCAUAUGGUCCACCAAAUCACUGCUGGGACAAUCCUCCAUCUGCUUUGGUCUGUACUGCCACUGCCUUCAUUGUUCCAGCUUUCUAUAGCCUGACUUGCCCUUUGUGGCAUGGGCACAAACACAUCUAGGACACAUAUGUAUUCCCCUCUUCAUUAGAUUCUCCUGUGUUAGUACCGCCUCUUUAACUACUAACCAAGUAAAGACUGCCACCUUAUAUGGAAUUUUGACUUUCCAGAUAAGCUUCCAAGGCAAAAAUCUGAGUUGAGUCCCCAUUUGAUUCAGGUUCUUGUAGGCAGAGCUAACUGUGAAGAUACCUUUGCUGUGAUGAAUCCACGUAAGAGUGUCUUCUCCCUCUUUCAAUCCUCCAAAAUGGUCCAGGGUGCCAUAAAAUUCAGCUAGUCUAUCCACCUCCCAGUCUUGUAUCAUCCUUCUGUAUGUUAAGUUCCAUCCAUGGAUGGACCAAACUUCUUGCACAGUGGCCUCAUGUUGCAGAUUCAACAAGUAGACGUCUGGAAAGAGCUGUUUGAGGCUGCCAUUUCCUAACCAAUUAUCGUCCCAAAAUAAAAUCUUUCUUCCAUUGUUUAUAUUGAAUCUAGUUCUUUGAAAGAAACAAUGCCACAAAUUUCUGAUUGAUCUCCAUAGGCUAAUACCAUAGACAGAAGUCACUUCCUUAGUUUUUCCAGUGAUCUAUCUUCUCGUACUUGGCCUGAAUCACUCUAACCCAAAGAGCUGCAAACCCACACUUCGAACUAAAACUCUACUGGUUAUCGGUGAUUGUCUUAAAGUCUCAAUGGUGCUCAAACAAGCAAAAAACGUAUCCACUUAAUAGACUCGUUCAGUUGUAAGAUACACAAAUAAAUAGCUGCAAAACCUAAGAGAAAAUAUUAUUAUCUCCCCGGACAAACAAGCAUGGAUAAAUGAUAGAGGAAACAAGCCCAUUCAAUGUAACAUUCCAUAACACAUUUAACUUUAACCCACCCAAUAUCAAGAUAAUGCAAUAAAGUAUGGCUUCUACUAGCGAAUACUAUCUGGGAAAGUUUAAGUUUUGAUUAUUUUGUUUAUAUAAUACAUUAAGGAGCCUAGUGUUAUAACAUUCAUUAUAUACUAUAAUAAGUAGCAUCUAGCUUUGGUUUUGAUAAUUGGGGAAAUACCUAAAAGGCAGAAUUAAGAACUUUGACUGAAAAACUGGAAAUGUUUAAGUUUUGAUUAUUUACGUUAAGGAGCACAGUUAUAUAAUAUACACAUUCAUCGAACACUAUAAUAAGCAGCAUAACGCACUGGAUCCCAUCAGAACACUAUAAUAAGUAGCAUCUAGCAUUGGCUAUGAAAAUAGAGAAAUACCUAAAAAGAAUUGGAACCUUUGAAUUUCCAAAUUGGCAAUGCACUAUGCAUUUCGUUUAGGUUAUGUACAUUUAGUUGAUUUAACCAGCGCAGUUGUAUGUUGAACUUGUUUAAUUACCCAAAUGGGAGUAUGAAAUGUUCUGGUUCCUCUUUAAGCAAUUCUAUCAAAAUUUUAUACACACCUUGAUUAAGUAUUGACUCGAGACUCCAUCUUCCUGCUCACGAGUUCGCAGACCCUGUAUCCAUCCAUUCAGUUUAAGCAAAUGCAGAACUUCAGUCAUUGAAAUCCAAAGACCCUAAUAUAAAGAAGGUAAAGAUGACUCAAGGAGAAACAUGCAUGAAUAAUACCUUAGUCAAAGUAACCGUCGAGGUCCAAAACCGGUCAGAUGUUCUGGUUGACACGUGAAACCUACUCAUAAAGCACUACUAAGGCUCAGAAAGAGAUCCAAAUUUUGAAGUACAACUGAAUGAGGAAUAAGUUCUCAAAUCAAAAUUCCAGUGCUAGGAAUACCAAUUAAUUGGGAAAAAGGCAUCUUUGUAGAGAUCCAAACAUGGUCCACAAGUGUCUUUGAAGGGAUACAGAUCUUUCAAACUUGAUUAAAAAGGUAAAGUUUGGUGCUUUUAUUCUUCCCUUUAGGGGAUACAGCUGACAGAUGAAAUGAUUCUAAUAUGAACACAACUCAACCACAUUUUCAGAAAGAAGAAUCCUUGUUCUUAACGUCCAUACAUAUAAGAUGUCAACAAAAUUUGUGCUUAGUUGAUACCAACUUAAAAAGUAGGAUGUGCAUGAAAUAUUAGCAUAAGGUUCAUUAACGCAGACAAAUAUACUAUUCCUGACUGCAGAAUCUUUUGGCAUGUCUUCAACCAAAGAGAAAAGUAGUUAUUUUCACGACAUUCUAGACAUCAAGAUCAAGCAGGAAACUGUUGUCAUUAAUAUUAUCUUGUGCUUGAAUGACUACCCUUUAGUCGACCAGCUCCAUUUUUCAAAGAGGAAUAAACAAAUACAUCUUAGCAUAUAUUAUGGUUUGCCUUAAUCUGAUCCAUUUCAUGUUGUCGUAAAAGCAAAUGGUAAUCAGGAUAGUCACCUCUUCUUAUAGAAUAGAAAUCUCACGUGAAUCAUUAAAAGAAAACCAGUUUAUUCCCCUCCUAGUGAACAUAGGAAACAAAAAUGAUAAUUCCUGAAUGCAAGUUGCUCCUAAGGGAAUAAGAAUCUGAAAAGAUAUAUCAGGACAGACUGACUGAUGCUAUGAGAAUACCUAUGAUCUCCACGUUUUGGUUGUGCACUAGCCAAGGCACCAGUAAAACCCACACCUAGAACUGGUGAACCUGUACAAUCAAACAAAUUGAAAUCACGUCAUUUAAAUAAAACAACACAUAUCAAGGAAUAAAAAGCUACUUAAUAAUAAAUGGUGAAACUUUGUAUUACACAUCUAGGUGUAAAAUAGUCAGAUGACUUUGAAUCAAAGUGACCUCACUGUUUUACGGCUAUGCACACAAUCCAAUAUAAAAAUGAGGAAGAACGAUAAAAUUAGGGUGCCUCCUUUUUGUGAGAGAGAAUAUUUAUUAGAUAGAGUAAUAAUAAACCUAUGCGGAUACACCUAGUUACGUUUUUUUUGGUACCCCCGUUGGCUUCUCGGUUGUACCUAUUGCCUUUAUACAUCUUCAGUAGCAAGCACAAGUUUCACACACUAGAAUGUCAUUAUAGCUUGUCAGAAUAGGAAAACCGAAAACCUUCAUCAUUUAUGCAUGGCAUACAAAUUAUUACAUACACAUAUAUCAAAUAAAUCACUCCCGAUUAAUCAAGCAGUCAUCUAGGAUAUGAACCGUCCGUUCAUUGUCUUCCAACCACAUCAAUUUGACACUAGAAAGUUUUAUCUUUCUAAUCGUUCUCUACAUGAUUAACUAUCAAUCAAGUAAAAUCGGCCCUAAACUAGUAAGGUUCAGCAAAAGAUGCAACAUGAGGACUUCCCCUGAGGUUACACACUAGUAUUACGCUCGCCUAAGCAUGCUUAACUUCCGAGUUCUGAUGAGAUCUUUUGCCUUAUUGUUAGUAUGAUCACAUCCCUAGCAUAUUUAAACUAUUUACCUACCUCCUUCUUGCUUGGAACUGACUAUUCUUUGAGCUCACAUAGACACAGUUUUCUCAAAUCUCUUAACUAAACUAGAAAAUUUCUAGAAAUGUAUGGCCAAAUUCGUUUAGCUAAGAGACAAAUGUACAAGAUAACACCAUAAAAUCCACAAUCAAACACAACAUUCCGAUAGAUUCAAAAUCACUACCUGGUUUAGAAAGCUUUAAUGCUCUAUUAUAAGCCAACAAUGCCAUUUCCUCCGCCGUUUGCGAACUAGCAGCUUGAGCAGGAACCUGUUCCAGAAAAAAACGAAAAACACAAUUUCUUAGCAGUGAAAUCGCUAUAAUUGCAAAAUCAAUGAUUAAACUUGAAAAUCAAACUACCUUGCCAAGUAAUUGAAUCAUAGACAUUCUGGAAUAUGUAACUACAGAUUCAAGCACAGUGUUCGAUGCUCCCGGAACUGACAUCAACCACCCCAGCGCCUGUACAAAUUCAUAACAUAAAGUGAUGUUAACAGUUAAAUUCAGCUAAAACAACAAACUUAUCACAAAACAAAUCUAGAGACCUGAGAGGCUCCGCCGGAGAGAUAAAUAACAGCUUGAGUAGGAGACGAAUGUAUAGCUUCCACAAGAGCUCGGCGGCAACAAUCGGUCAUCGUCGCCGUCGCCGUCAAUGGACGAAUACGAUCAGUUCGCUAGAUUUUUUGUCUGCUUUUUCCGUCAAAUUGAUUGCGUCGAAACGGCGUCGUUGGUUGCACUUCCAGAAAUUUAGAAAAUUACCAUAAUGUGAUUAGCAAAGCUCGUUAAUUAAUUGCAUCACUAGAUUAUGUCUUAAAUUUUUUUAAAAAUAAAAUAAAAUUAAGAAUAUAAAUUACUAGAAAAUCAAAUUAAAAUACUUUAUUGCCACAUUAGUUACUACUAUAACAAACACACCGAUAUAAUUUCACAAGUAGGCUAUGAAAAUAAGCAAAUAUUACUAGUUAAGUAUUGGUUUUUCUCUUUUACCCACUUUUUAAUAAAAUAUUAAUUAAGAAAUGUGUUUUAAUAUUUUACUCUUAUCUAUGUUUUAAAGAUAUAAUUUUUUCAUUAAAUAUUGACUAUAUUUAUGUAUUAUCUACCCUAAUUAAAGUGUGUGUCAUAUUCAAGAACAGUUACUACUAAAUAUAAAUGUGAAAAAAAUGCAUGUGUCAUUUGAUGAAAAGCACUCGAAUCACUUCUGAUGAUUGAAUUGUCAACCUGAUCAACCAUGCUUUUAUCUUAAAUUUAAAAUGACAAAUAACUUAAGAUAAUUAUUAUUAGAAAUUACGACAAAUAAUUUGAGCGAGUAAUUCAACAUGAUAAUGUUAAUAUUUCAAAUGACGUUUUGGUUGAUAAUAUAAUACAUCAAAAUUACUAUAUAAUCAAUUAAUUGAAAACAAUUCAAUGACUUGAAAUUUUAGUCAGUUAGUAAAGAUAUAUUUUAAUUAGAAAAAUGACUUAGAAAUUAGGUCUAUUUGACUAUUUUCCGUGACUGCUCCUUCAAUCACGCUAGAUUAUGAAUUUUGAAUAGAUCAUUUGUGAUUAUUUGCAUGUAGAGUAGAAUUAUUAUGCACAAAGUUUAAGAAAGAAUCAAAUAACGAGGUUGAUCGAGAUUUUUCAAGAGAUUGUCUAUGAUGAUGUUAAAUUAGGUCUUAGGCCUAACUCACACCCCAAAAGCUAGCUCAAAGGGAGGAGGAUUGCCCAAGCCUUAUAAGGAGUCCACCCAUCUCAUUAACCACCGAUGUNNNNNNNNNNNNNNNNNNNNNNNNNNNNNNNNNNNNNNNNNNNNNNNNNNNNNNNNNNNNNNNNNNNNNNNNNNNNNNNNNNNNNNNNNNNNNNNNNNNNNNNNNNNNNNNNNNNNNNNNNNNNNNNNNNNNNNNNNNNNNNNNNNNNNNNNNNNNNNNNNNNNNNNNNNNNNNNNNNNNNNNNNNNNNNNNNNNNNNNNNNNNNNNNNNNNNNNNNNNNNNNNNNNNNNNNNNNNNNNNNNNNNNNNNNNNNNNNNNNNUUUUCAGGAGAUUGUAUAUGAUAAUCUACCUUUGUAUUGUAAUUAUUGUAAGCACCAAGGUCACGAUGAAGAUAGUUGUCGUUUGAUCUCGAAAAGAAAUCAAAAUAACAAACAAAUUGAUGAUACCAUUGAAGCUACACCACCAAUGUGAGACUUUUGUCAUUCUUUUAACAAAUGAUCUAUCUUGUAUUGCAAUUAUUGUAAGCACCAAGGUCAUGAUGAAGAUAGUUGUUGUUUGAUCUCAAAAGGAAAUCAAAAUAACAAACAAAUUGAUGAUACCAUUGAAGCUACAAAGGUACUAUCGAUAGUGAAAAGUAUCAAGGUGAUGCGAGAGAAAUACUAAAUGAAAAACGAAAGGUUGUAGAUGUCAAUCAAAGUAAAGCUACUUCGUUAGAUCGGUAGUUGGUUGUUAUCCCUUCUAAGCAAAAUCGUGCACACUCAAUGGAUGUUGUUACAAGUAAUAUUGGUGUUCAAACAACUAUCGAAAAGUAGAUGUCAAUCAAAGUAAAGCUACUUCGUUAGAUCGGUAGUUGGUUGUUAUCCCUUCUAAGCAAAAUCGUGCACACUCAAUGGAUGUUGUUACAAGUAAUAUUGGUGUUCAAACAACUAUCGAAAACAAAAGGGGAACGCCAAGAGUUGGGGUUGAUGCGCCGCGAGUUGGUUCAGGCCAAAAAAUAAUGGAUUCAGGACAUAAACUAAUGGAUACAUCUGAUGUUGAAGAUGCUGAAAAUUCUGGGCAACAUGUUUUGCAAGUUGAAACCAAGAAUGCAACUAAAAUUGGACACUGGUUGCACACAAAAAAUCAACUAGUAAUCCGAGCUUUCCCCGACUAGUCAAAAUAAUUCUGCAUGUAGUGAAAAGGGUGCGACUGAAAAUUUUUAUGACAGUGAGAAGAGGCAAGAUAUUAGUAAUGCCUCAAGAGACCUAUUAUGUUCGAAUAGCUUUGAUGCUUUAUCGAAGACUACUGGAAAGCAAGUAAAGUUAACAGAGAAUGACAACGAUUUGAUCCAAGAAAAACAUGUUUCACCACCUACUUUGAAUAGCAAAUUAAGUCCAGAAGCUCCCGUAUUUGUGCCUAAAUGUGUGAUUGCAAAGAAGAAUGAGUCAAGGGUCUUAGUGUCAAAUACAAUUGAUUUGGGCGAGGAUUCUCUUGAUGAAAAUAAGGAAGACAAUAUGCUUGAUUUUGGCGAGGAUUCUCUUGAUGAAGAUGAGGAAGAUAUGCUGGACAUGUGUNNNNNNNNNNNNNNNNNNNNNNNNNNNNNNNNNNNNNNNNNNNNNNNNNNNNNNNNNNNNNNNNNNNNNNNNNNNNNNNNNNNNNNNNNNNNNNNNNNNNNNNNNNNNNNNNNNNNNNNNNNNNNNNNNNNNNNNNNNNNNNNNNNNNNNNNNNNNNNNNNNNNNNNNNNNNNGACAGGCAAAGCAGAACCAUUUGACAGUAUCAAUAGGUUCAACAAGAUCCAAUAAAUCCAUAAAGAAAGUAUGAAUUAUCAACUGUUGUUGGAUAGGUUUGAAGAAGAAGAUAAGAGAAAAAUAGUUCAAGUUACUUUUGAUGGACAAUCAAUCUUUUUUAAUUCACGCAUUUGUAAUAGAAAGUUUGAGGCUGAUAACUCAACUUUCUUCUUGAUUGGCAUAUUUUUACAUUAUUUAAGCAUCCUCAUUUGUAAUAUCAUCAUGGAAUGUAUACAAACUCUGUGGUGAUCAGAAAAUACUUAGGUUUCUCUAGCGCUUAUUUUCUUCAUGAUUGUUAGGUAGUAGACACUUAAUUAAGAUUAAUAAGGUAAGACCUAGCCCCCCUUGCUUGCACUUAUCCCUAUUGAUAUUUUUUAUGUUUAAUAAAAGGCCACUAGACUCUGUCUAGUGGUAAAUUUGCGAGAAAAAUAAUAAUCAAAUAACGUAGAAUUUAAUAGGCAAUCUUAAUUUUCUUGUAAUUUUUUGUUUUUUGCUUUAACCAAGUGACCUCUUAUUAAUGGCUGAGACAGGUAGAGUUGAGGUGGUUUAUCUGAACUCCAUUCGAUAGAAAUUACAUUAGUUUUAUAUAGUUUUUUAAAAAAUAAUUCUUAUAUAUAUGUAUGUAUGUUGAACUCUCUUCAAUUUUUCAUGUGUUUACUUUUUUAUAUUUUGGACCUUCUUAGUGAAAAUCUUGAGUUCAUCAUUGUCUUCUACCAUAUAACAUCUUACUAUUACGACAAUUGUAUAAUACUUCUAACGAACUAUUUGAUAUACUAAAUUUUCACUAUUUCUAUAUUACGUAGAACUUCUAACGAACGGUUUGCUAUACUAACUUCUGAAAUAUUGUCUCAUCACAUAUCAAGUCCUAUGUACAUCAACUAAUUUGGCAUUGUUUUGAGAGAAUAAAGCAAUAGUUGAUUGAUUGAUAUUAUCCAAAUUUACUUAGAGAUGCUUUUUUUUAUAUAUAUAUAAAAUAAAGUGGACGGCAUCUAUUUCAUUUGGGAUAUAAUUAUUAUGUAAUAUUGGGACCAACUUGUAUAUUAUAGAGGCAAUUUUAAAAGUAGAUCAAAGAAAAACAAAACAAAACAAAAAUAGGAAGAAUUUCUUAGACAAAAUUAUUGGAUCCACAUGUACUCUAUAUUAUACUUUUUUACCAAUUAACCAUAGCAAGUUUUAAAAAAAUGUUCUCUUUUGAGGCUUAGUAUUGAGAAUACAAUCUUUUAUAUAAUAAUAAAACAUAUCAGGAUAAUAUUCUCACAGAAAAAGGUCAUAUUGUACGUAGUGACGGAACCAAAAUUUUUAAUAAGGGGUUCAAAAUCUAUAGAAAUAGACAAACGAAGUAGCCGAAGGGGGUUCGACAUCUACUCUAUAUACAUAAAAAAUUAUUUUAAUCAUGUAUAACAAUAUAAAUAAGAUAAUUUUCCGCCGAAGGGGGUUCGGAUCCCCCUUCGUAUAAGGUGGUGUUUAUAUCCCUACAUUAUUCAAAUAGGGAAAAACGUCGCGGUGACUCAAAAUAUAAACAAUUGAUUCAAUUUUAAAAGAAUUUUAACAAUAAAUGAAUUUUAAAGGAGUCGCCACCUAAUUUUAAGAAUAAACUAGGAAACUAUUAAGUGAUCUACGAAACCAAGAUUCUAGGUAAGGGGUUCAAGUUAUUUCGAAGGAAAGGUGUUAGGCAUCCUUCGAAAUCCACAACUGUGGGUCCCGACUGAAUUCAUUUUUUCAAAUUGAGGAGGAAAAUAAAAUAAUGUACAAAUAAAACAAAUAUACAAUAUACAAAAGUAAUAAAAUAAAAUAAUAUAAGAAGCAACCUAGAUUUGCCUAUCGUCAAUAAUAUACGAUAAUAAAUCAAAAUAUUAUUCGAACCUUGUUCGAAUAGCUUCAAUGUGAAGCAGCUCCGGGUACCUGUAAAGACACUUAGUAAAAGUGUUAGUACUAAAUAAAUAUGAAUAAAAAUAAAUAAAUUAAUAGUAACUUAAAAAUAAAAACUCGUCUUAUUAACAUGGGAGACCUUGAAAAUCGACGAUAAUUUCUUCAUCGGCCAAUUUUAACAUAUAAAAACUACAAACAUAAACUAAAUUUCCGUCUUUUAAAAUGAAGAGGCCUCUAAAACCGACGGAGAGAUUUUUUUAUUGGCCAUUUUGAACAAACAAAAUAUAUGAAAUUAAACUAAAUUUCCGUCUUUUACAAUGUAAAGGCCUCCAAAAUCGACGGAGAAAUUUUCUCAUUGGCCAAUUUUAACAUACAAAACAAUUUAGCAAAGCACAAAAUGUCUAAAAUUAACUUUAAACAAAAGGAUAAACAUAAUAAUAAUAAUAAUAAUAAUAAUAAUAUCAACCAUAACAACACCAACCGUAACAAUAUAGUAACAAGACUAAUACUGCUACUACUAAUAAUAAUAAAAUAUUAGUAAUAAUAAUAGCCAACAGUAAUGUACUACCCAAAUAGCAAUAAACAAUAUAAAAUAAGUAAAUCAAAUCUAAAAGUCAUUAACCAGUAAAUGUCAAUAUAUGAAAAAUAAGAAACCACUGUAAUUGAUAAAUCCGAUUAAAAAAUCAAAUUAAUUACCGACAAAAUCUCAAAACAUCAAAAUGAACGAAUCUAGAAAUUAUAACUUAACUUAAAUGUGUCCAACAACAAAAACAAAAAAACAAAAACUAAAAUAAUAAUAAAAACCACAUCAUCCAACAAUACUUCAAUAUAACUCUUAGAACAAAUGAAAACAAUAAAUAAUAGAGCAAGAUCUAUAAAAAUGAAGUAUUAACAACACAAAUAUAACUUGCAAAACAGAUAAAAAAAAUGUGAGGAGGAAUAAAGGAAAUACAGAGUACCGUGGUGAUGAUAAGAGUCUAGGACUGAUGGUGCUCAUUGGAGCUUGGAACUCCCGUUCGCUGGCGGUGGAGCCACGCCAGAGCUAGAGUUUGGGGUUAUCGUCGUUCAGGUGAGAGCUUUGAGCUCACUUAUUCCGCCGGAAAAUGGCUCACUGGUUCGAGCUCUGGUUCGUCGGCGUUAACGGAACACCUAUAAAACAAACAAAUGAACGGAAAAUCGAAAAGGGGGAAGGGACUGGCCGUCGUUUAGCUUUUAUCUUUUGCUCCGGCUCAUUGGAACGUGGAGCUCCUCGCCGGAGUCACUGGCGGUGUGAACGGGUAGCGUUUCGCGAAGGAGUCUGGUAGUGGGAGGAACAGGGAUUGGUUUUGCCGGAGAAACAAAAAAAAAUAUAAGGGGUUUUUGAGUGGCGGUUCCAGCGGCUGGUUUGGGGUCUGGCAGAGAAGGAAAAUGGGGUGGGUUUUGGGGUUGGAUCUGGUGGAGAAGAAAGAGAUUGUUUUGUGCUUCUAUUUGGUUAUAUUCCGGCGAGGUUUCGCCGGUAAAAUGAAUAAGAGGAAGGUGGGGGAUCUGGUGGGGUUUGAGGUGGUGGAGGCUAAGGGAGGAAAAGGGGAGAGGAAAAAAAAUUAGGGUUUUUGCCAUUUAGAAAAAUCUUGCCUCCUAAAAAUAAUUCACCACCUCCCUUUAACCUAAUGUGUUAGUUUUAUAUGUAGAGAAUUGAAAAUUAUCAAUGGGCCCAAGUCAUGGGCUCAAGGUUGUGGCCCAAAAUAUAUGUGGUAAGAAAUUUUAUCCACAUCGAAAUGAAUUUCUGAACUAUAUUAAAAAUAAAUAUUAAAAGAUGUAAUGAACGUAACUAAUGACAUGUAAAAAGUGUAAUUUUAAGAUUAACUAGGAAAAAAAAAUUCUAAAUUUUGAUAAAUAAGAAUAGUUAUCGAUAAACUUAUUUAAAAUUAUAAAAAAAUUAUCUUGAACUAUUAAAUAAAUAAAACUUAAAAGUUAUGAAUUUUUUAAAUAUUAGGCCAAAAUUGGGUGUCAACAAUUACAUUUCAUAUUGAUAUUUGAUUGAGAUCAUCAUUCCCUUCAAUUUUUUAAAUAUUAGGCCAAAAUUGGGUGUCAACAGGUGGCUCCGCCCCUCAUUGUACGUAAACUUUAUCUUUGUGAGGGAUAAAAAUGUUAUUUCUGAUAAAUUCUCGAUUUAUUAAAGUGUUAAUCACGUAAGACUUUAAUUCUGAAAUCAUCUCAAGAAAUUUAGAAAUCACUUCACCUAAGGCAUGAAGAAUAUUUUUAGGUCAAAUAAAGCAUGUAGAGUGAUUAAUUAGUCAGUCAAAGUGCAUGCUUUUAUAGAAAUCUGUUACUAAUUAUUAUAUUUAAUUUUGCUAAUUAACAAUAGAUUAUUUUUAACUCAAUUGUCCAACAAUAUAAAGACAAUCCUCACUGUCAUAUGUGGACACUUUUUUACCAACUUUAUAUCUUGACCCUACAUCUCUUCUUGUAAUUCUAACCCCUCAAAAAACAGAAAACAAAAAAGUGGUCCUCAAAUUUUGUUUAUUAUUACAAAAUUAGCUAGUUUGUACUUUUACCAUUUUUGUUGAUAAGAUAUAGAGUUACCCCAAACCUAGCUUGUUGUGAGUUGUCAUUUCUUUAAUUUAUUUUUUCUUUUCAUAAGGUAUGGUCCAUCACUUUGUACAUAUUUCCAAUUUCUAGAAAGAAAAAUAAUAAUUUAUUUUUUAAUUUAUAUAAAGAUAUUUAAUUAGUAUAUAUAUAGAUAGAGAAAAGAUGAAAGAAGAUAUAAGAUACAUCAUAAUGAAAUUAUAAUGACUGUACAAAUAUGUAAAGGUAGCUUAGUGGAUUAAAAUAUGCUGUGGAUUAUAGAUAAAUGACUCUCAAGAGCUUCUAUUCAUAGAAUCGUGAACCAUUAAUUAUGGAAGGGAGUGUUGUAGUAAUAUUUUGAUUGUAAAAGAGAGAGGAACGACUAGAUGGUGAUAAUUGCCCAUUUUGUUCGAUUAGAUUGAUAGAUAUAUAUAUAUUUUUUUAAUUUAAUCAAUCAGAUUUGACAUCUAAAUAUGAACUUAUCGAUGUUAGAGAAGGUUUCAAGGGCUAGAUCAUUCAUUGAUUCUAAUUAAUUUAGAGAGUCGUUGAUUCAAUCAAAUUUGACGCCUAUACUAGAAAUUUUAAAUUGUCUAUCUCAAAUCCAAUAAAAGCGAAGAAUUAUGGUAACUAAAAAUCAACAUAAAUUUAUUGAUUCAUGAUAAAUUCUUAUAAUACAAAUUUCACCUGAAGGUAUCCAUCUAAGCAUGCAUUACUUCAGUACCCAAAAUGUGAUUAAAGUUUACGUAAAAAUAAAAAAAAUAUCGGCAUAAUAUUUUUCUCAUUUUUUUCCACCUUAAAUAGGAAGGUAUGAAGGUUAUGAUUAGAGUAGAUGCUUAACAAAUAGUUGAACAUUCUCUUAUUUUUUAACGUGAUUAGUCUUGGUGGUAGAGCAUCGUGUCUAUCAUAGUAUUAACUCUAUUCAUAUAGUUUCUUGCUUUUGAUAUCUAAUAUCAUUUGUUGUCUAUUUGUUCCUUUCAUAAAUGUUUUGAAUCAUGUUUUACCAUAGCGACUCCGUACCCAAGAGAACUUUAUCGUUAUCUAUUAUUAUUGUUAAUGUUCCUUUCAUAAAUGCUCUAAAGACUCCCUAACAAAAGGAAUUUCAUAUUCAAGAAGACUCAAACACGAAACGUCAGUUAAGGAAAAAUAAAUAGUUAUCACUCCAUCACAACUUUCGUUGGUGCAAUUGUUGUUAUUAUUUCAACUGUUUCAAAAAAUCUUGUUUUUUCUACAUUUACCUUAAUGGGUCCUAAAAUUGUCCCAUAUAUAUCCUUAUAACCCCACUACAUUGAUAUACUACAUUAAAGCUUCUUUUUAGUUCUUUCUUCUGUUUGUUUUUCCCCAAAGUUGAGAAAAACAUUAAUCUAUUUUCCCAACGUCUCUUUAUUUUCUUAGCUGAAAUCAACUUUACCUUUUCUCACUCUCAAAAGUCUCACCUUUCACACUCUUUUUUCUCUCUUAAGCUCCAUUCUUGGUUAUCUGGUGUACAAAAGGUAAGGUCUUUGAGACACCCUUUUGCUCAUUUUUCAUUUUUCAGCUGUCACUGUUCUUGAUUUCAUCAUAUUUGUAGAUAAAAAUGCGAUCUUUUUUGUUUUUUUGCAUUUUCUUGAUUCUGUGUAGUUGUGUUUUUGUUACUUCUUUGAAUGAUGAAGGGAUAGCUCUUUGGUCAUUCAAAAAAGGUAUUGGACAAGACCCUGAAGGGUCACUUAAAAAUUGGAACUUUUCUGAUGAAACCCCAUGUUCUUGGAAUGGUGUUACAUGCAAAGACCUAAAAGUUGUAUCUGUUAGUAUACCUAAAAAGAAACUCACUGGGUUUCUUUCUUCUAGUCUUGGAUCUCUUACUGGGCUUAGACAUGUUAAUUUGAGAAGUAAUUUGUUUUCUGGUAGUUUGCCUGUUGAGCUUUUUGAGGUUCAAGGUUUGCAAAGUUUGGUUCUUUAUGGGAAUUCCUUUUCUGGGGUUAUACCUAUUGAGGUUGGGAAGCUAAAUUAUCUUCAAACUUUGGAUUUAUCACAAAAUUUCUUGAAUGGGUCUGUGCCUAUAACAUUACUUCAGUGUAAGAGAUUGAAGUUUCUUUAUUUAAGUCAUAAUAACUUUACUGGUGUUGUACCAGAGGGGUUUGGGGGUAAUUUGUCUGCAUUGGAAGAACUUGAUCUUGGAUUCAACAAAUUUGAUGGUAAAAUUCCAAGUGAUUUGGGAAAUUUGUCUAAUUUGCAAGGAACUGUUGAUUUGUCUCAUAAUAUGUUUAAUGGUUCGAUUCCGGCUAGUCUUGGUAAUCUUCCUGAGAAGGUGUAUAUUGAUCUGACUUAUAACAAUUUGAGUGGUCCAAUUCCACAAAAUGGUGCUCUGAUUAACAGAGGACCUACUGCUUUUAUUGGAAAUCCUGGGCUUUGUGGACCUCCGUUGAAAAACCAGUGUUCUGCACAAAGUGAUGCAAGUUCACCGUCCUCGGAACCUUUCUUGCCUAAUAACGUACCUCCCUUAGAUGGUGCUGGAGGGGAUGGGAAUGGUAGAGGUCUGAGUAGAGGUGCUGUAAUUGCGAUAAUCGUGGGGGAUGUGGUUGGAAUUUGUGUUAUUGGGUUGUUAUUCUCGUAUUGUUAUUCGAGAAUCUGUGGUUGUGGGAGGAAAAAGGAUGAAUCCGGAUUUGGUUUUCAGAAGGGGGGAGGGAAAGGAAGGAAAGAGUGUUUAUGUUUUAGGAAGGAUGAGUCGGAGACGUUAUCGGAAAAUGUUGAACAAUAUGAUCUAGUGGCACUAGAUAAUCAAGUGGCAUUUGAUCUUGAUGAACUUCUCAAGGCAUCUGCUUUUGUCCUUGGUAAAAGUGGUAUCGGCAUUGUGUACAAAGUUGUGCUUGAAGACGGACUUAACUUGGCUGUGAGGAGAUUAGGCGAGGGUGGUUCACAGAGAUUUAAGGAAUUCCAGACGGAGGUCGAAGCAAUUGGAAAACUGAGACAUCAAAAUAUUGUGACUCUUCGUGCCUAUUAUUGGUCUGUCGACGAGAAGCUACUGAUAUAUGACUUCAUUCCAAAUGGAAACCUUACCACCGCAAUUCACGGUAUGCUUCAAACUUAGGCUGUUGCAUUCUCGUUUAUCGUUUUUUCUUUGAUUUCCACAACUGUUUUAAGCUUUCGUGAUUAUUAAGUUAUUAACUUGUCUUUUUGCUUGUGUAAUCAACUCUUAGGAAAACCUGGUAUGGUGUCAUUUACACCGCUUUCGUGGUCCAUUCGACUGAAAAUAAUGAAGGGAACUGCAAAAGGUUUGGUUUAUUUACAUGAGUACAGUCCCAAGAAAUAUGUUCAUGGUGAUCUAAAGCCAUCUAAUAUAUUACUUGGGCACGACAUGGAGCCCAAAAUCUCCGACUUUGGACUUGGACGUCUUGCUAAUAUAGCCGGAGCAUCUCCUACGUUGCAAUCCAACCACAUGACCUCUGACAAACCACAACAAAGUAAGCAAGGCAGUGCACUAUCAGAGUCCGGGACAGUUACAUCAACUACAACAUCUGGUUCUUGCUACCAAGCUCCCGAGGCAUUGAAAGUGGUGAAACCAUCUCAAAAAUGGGACAUUUACUCGUAUGGAGUGAUCUUGCUUGAAAUGAUCACGGGAAGAACCCCGAUUAUCCAAGUAGGUUCUACAGAAAUGGAUCUAGUAAACUGGAUUCACUGGUGCAUUGAAGAGAAGAAGCCACUUUCGGAUGUAUUGGACUCAUAUUUAGCUCAAGAUGCUGAUAAAGAAGAGGAAAUGAUUGCGGUUUUGAAGAUUGCAAUGGCGUGUGUUCACAGCAGCCCGGAGAGAAGACCCUCAAUGAGAUACAUAUCUGAUGCAUUAGAAAGACUGCAAGCUUCCUCUGAAUGAACGAUCGAAACAGAACCUGAAGGCUACACAUUGCAGAGUAAGGAUCACAGCAUCUAACCGAUAACUAUGGAGCACGAUCACUGCUUGGCGCGCGAUCAUAUUGACUAACAGUAGUAAUCUCCACUUGUCUGUUUGAAUAUUGGCCUUCUUGCUCUCUAAUUGCAAGGUUUUUGUUGUGUCUAUUUGUUGUUUCCUUCUAUUGAUGAACAUAAGUUAUUUGUUCUCUUUAUUACUACUACUAUUCAUCUUUGUGUGUCACAAAUGAGUUUAUGUAAAUAAAAAUGAUUGUCAAAAUAAUAAAUAAGAUAGGUGUAAGCAAUAACUAUGUCUGUUGUGAGUCUGCAAGUGUUGGUACUAUUUUUGUCAAUACUCUCUGUCAGUAAAUGAAAUUCUUUUAACAAAAAGAUAUUAAUGUCUUGUAGUACUACUAAUAAAUGCAUUUUGUGACAGCUGCAUGAUUUUGUCAUCUACCAUUAUCUCAGUUUUACAGUUAUUGGUUGUUUGUUUAUGGUAACUUUGAACACUGAGAUGCACUGACAUAAUACACGUAAGAUGUUACGUAGGAUACGUAAAUUAUCACGUAGGACGUAUAUAGGAUGCAUAUGUUACUUGUUAACUUUAUACAAAUUUGUGCACAUUCAAAAUUGAACGGUAUCUAAAUGCAAGUUGAGGUCAAGUUAAAGGGUAAUUAUGGUGCAUAAAGCUUUCUGCCAUAUGCAUGGAGUUUAAGGAAAGAUUCACCACAUUGAAUCUUAUGUACAUAGUUUUAUCUUACAUUUCUAUAAAAGGUUUCCCCGGCUUGAAAACGUAACAUCCAAAUCACAUGAUGUCAACUUUAAAUGUUACGCCGCAGGUCGCAAGCCAAGCUCACAAGUCUUAACUUCUAUUAUGAUGAUAGUGUACAAAUAUUUACGUUAUCAAGUUACCUAAAAGAUAAUUACAAAUAAUAAUCGUUUGUUUAAAAAUGAGGUUAGUAACCUAGAAGAGCACAUGAAUGAGCUUGUCUUGCAUAAUAUUGACUGUAUAAAAAGUAUUUGCGCUAUCAAAUAAUCCAAAAGAUAAUUAUAUAAUUGUUCAUAAAUUUUUUAAUCAACAACAUAAAAAAAGACAAAUGAAAUUAUUAUUUUGAUGCAUGCACCUAGGAUGCCAUCUAAAAAUGUUUCUUGAAUUGAAGGAAAAAAGAGGCUAAAUUUAAUCAUGAGAAUAAAAUGCAAAUUAAUUAUUGCAAAUAAAAACUUGUGGACCUUUUUUCAGAUUACUUUUUAGUACAUUUAUUUCUGUAUAAAAAAUAAAUCUGUUUGAUUAUUGAUCUUUUUCCUUUCUAGUUUCAUCAAACAAUUUUAUUGAUUCUUGAUUGUGUCAUACUACCAAUCUCUUAAAGGAGCAUGUUUGAUUAUGAAAAGAUUUCAAUAGCUAGUAUAUCUCAAAAACUUUCUCCGUUUUAAUUUAUCUGUCUUAAUUUUAUUUGUAGUCCGUGUAAAAAAGUGUCUUUUUCAUUUUUGAGCAAUUCUUUAAUUCUAACUUUCUACGUGACAUGUUUAAGAUCAUAAGAGUAAAAAAUAUUUUAAUACAUUCUACAUAUUUUUAGUUGAGACCACAAGAUUCAAAAAUCUUCUUUAUUUUCUUAAAUUUUAUGUCAAGUCAAAACCAAGCAAAUAAAUUAAAACGAAGGAAGUAAUAUACAUUUGCCUUCUUGGUUGUAACAUCAUUGUUUAGAUAACAUCAUUGUUUAGAAUUUAGAGUUAAUGAGUUCAGAAUUAUAUAUCUAUAAAGUUUUUCGUGUUUUUUUUUCGUGCACACACAUAUAUUGAAAAAGACUAGUGUGGUCGUCACACACAUGGUAUCAUUAAACAAGAUCCAACAACGUCAAAUGUGACGCUCGUGAUGAAGGGCUGGCCAAUGAAGACGAGUCACAAAAAAGAAGAACUGACAGGGUUCUAGGCUGACAAUCUUCUGAAAAAGAUAUGCACAUGAUACAUGGGAGAGAAAAACAAAGAAUUUUAUAACUAAACAUAACACAAGUUAUAUGAUAUAUACGUUUUUAGGUUCGAUGAUAAUGUAACUCAAGGGACAAAUUUAAAUUAUGUGUAUGAAAAUGAACCUCUUAUUAUUUUUCAAAUAUUACUUUUUCAUAUUCCAUACAAUGAUCAACUUCUUGGUGAUGACUAUAAAGCUAGCUAUAGUCCAUAGAGCACAUGAACUUUGGCCAAAAGACAAUAAUGUGUUACAGGUACAUUGAAACUUAUUGACAUUUUAGUAGGUAGCUAUGCAUAGAGACAUAAAAGUAUGGCAGCUUUUAGAAGUAAUAGUUUUCUUAGGGUGCGUUUGGUACGGAGAAAAAUAUAUAUAUUUUUUCAUGUUGAUUGGUCAAUUUUUUUAAAAAAUAUUUACUUUUAAGAUAACAAGACGAUCUUAAAAAUAAGAAAAUGACUUUUUUGUUAAAGGUAGAAAAACAAAUUUCAUAAUAGGUAACAUUUCAUAUUGAUUGUCACCUCUCAAUCACCAACCUCCCCCCCCCCCCCCCCCCNNNNNNNNNNNNNNNNNNNNNNNNNNNNNNNNNNNNNNNNNNNNNNNNNNNNNNNNNNNNNNNNNNNNNNNNNNNNNNNNNNNNNNNNNNNNNNNNNNNNNNNNNNNNNNNNNNNNNNNNNNNNNNNNNNNNNNNNNNNNNNNNNNNNNNNNNNNNNNNNNNNNNNNNNNNNNNNNNNNNNNNNNNNNNNNNNNNNNNNNNNNNNNNNNNNNNNCCCCCCCCAACCACCCCCCCCCCCCCCCCCCCCAAUCGCCCUAGUAGCAUAGCUAUAUAGAUUGAAGGAUUGUCAGUCGAACACCUUUCGUUGGAAAGUUUUAUAUAUAUACACAAAGUUUUAAUAUUGUGUAUAUACGUCUAAUAUAUUUCCUAUAGAUAUAUACAUUAAAAUCUUGAACACAUUUAGCGAAAUUCUUAGCUUCGCUAUUACAUAAACCCCACGCCCAUACCCAUUAGCUCGACCUCAACUGUCAAUCCCAUAAUAUUUGUCUAGAUUAUAAAUGUAAAAUUGUUUUUGAGACAAUAUUUUUUAUUUACUUAUCAAAUAUUAAAAAAUAAGUGAAAAAGUUACCUUGUCAGAAAAAAUAUUUUCUAACUACCAAACACACCCUUAAUGACUAUGUAUGAAAAUGCAAAAAAAAAUCUAAAGGGUUUUUAUUUGGAUAUGGUUGGUCUUUUUAAUUAGUUGAAACUUUAUGGCUGUACACCAUUAAAUAAAUUUAUCUUUUUUUGUGUGUGUGUAUAAAGCUUGACAUAUUCUUGGUCUUAAUUUCUUUUUACUUUAAUUGCAUAAUAUUUGACUUUUUUAAAUAAAACUUUAUUGUCGGAAUGUAAUAAUAAUUGCGCCAUUCAUGCCAACUACAAUGGGAGAAUUUUAGUAUACCUACUUGAAAGAUUAAUUCAAUAAAAUAAUAAUAAUUAUGUACAUGUUAAUAAUAAACAAAAAUAAAUAAUUGUUAAAAUUAUCAAGAAAAUCGUCAAAAGGUUAACUUCGUCUUUCUUAAAAAUAAAUUUUUCAUCUAUCAUAAUUAUUGAUCGAUUUACCAUUCAAUUAAUCAUGUGUUAUCGUUAAGCUUGUACUAUAAUAUACUUUUAUAAAUAGUCAAAUAAAACAUCUUUCAUGCAUGAAGGGAUCAAUAACAUAUAGUUUAAUUGAUUAAAGGUUAGAAUAAAAGUUGAAUUUUACCAAUAUUUUUUCCAACAUAUAGUUUUAACCAAUAAAAAGAAGCAUUAAAAAAUUGAUCUCGUGUAUAAUUAAUUAGGAUCAAUCAACAACUUUUUUCCCAAUAUUUUAGAAUUUUAAUAUUCCUAGUCAAGAAUAGUAGAUACGAUUCACCAAAUAAUUACAUUAAGAAUUUUGUUAAUUUUUUGGCAUAUGAAGUAAUCAUUUUAAUAGGGAUAAGGGUCUGAAAAAUACCCCAACUUUGGUCAGAUUUGUUGUUGCGAUACUAAACUUUCAUGAGGACCUAUUACCUCUCUAGACUAUUUAAUACCGUAUUUUAAACAUAUAUAUUUGCCCACAUGGACAUAAAAAAUAAUGCAAAAUUAUAAAUAGUAAUGUGUCCACGUGGCACAUAUAUACCUUUAAAAUACACUAUUAAAUAGUUCAGGGGGUAAAAAAUAUGGUAUUAAAUAGUCUAGGGAGGUAAUAAGUCCUUAUGAAAGUUUAGUAUCGCAACUACAAAUCCAAUCAAAGUUGGGGUAUUUUUCAGACCCUUAUCCCUUUUUAAUACAUAAAUAUUGGGUCGGUAUCCGAUAUCCAUCAUUAUUGGGGGUUUGAUUAAUCCAAAUUGAGCCAAGUAAGACCCACUAAAGAGGAAUAUCUUACCUAUUAGGAUAUUUCCAUACUCAUAACUCAAAUCGGAGACUUCUGAUUAAAGAUGGGACAUUAUAACCAUUCACACCCUCGGCGACAAAUAGAAAAUGUUAGUAUUCUAUUUAAUGAUGGAUUAUCGAAGAAUUAUAAUUUUUUUGUUAGUUACGAUCUAUUUAGCUACAGAUUUGUAACACAAUCAUUCACUCCAUAGUCUGAUAGAGUCCUGUUCUACAUGUCAAUAUCGACAACAAUGAAAUUUAUAGUAAAAGAAAAAUUCGACUUUAAAAUAGUGUAUUUCAGAUUUUUUUUUCUUUGUUUGACUAUCUUAGCACGAAGCAACACAUGAUUACAAUUCUAUUACAUGUCUUUUUCAUUUUGUCGAAAAUCAAUUUCACUAUAUAAAUACUUAUGACCUCCUCCUCUAUGUCUUGCGGUAAUGAUUCUUUUGUAGUUAAAAAGAAGAGUAGAUGUCACCAUACUUUGAUAUAUAGUAGUGGAAAGUCCACAAAUAAUGGGCCAUAUUCAAAUUGGGAAAGUGUCCCCUCAAAUGACUUCAAUUGCUAUAUUUUUCUUGUAUUAGAAAAUUAGGGUAACAAAUUAAAGAAUCAAUCAAAGACUUGGAUAUGUUACAGCUUGCUUCUCAUGGGCAUUGUCCUUUGUUGUUACUCCUUUAAUACACAAUAUUAGCUAGCUAGCUAGCUUUCAUAGUUAAAAUUAUAUACAUAAUUCAUUCAUCAUUGUUGACUUAAUGAUUGUAAAUGUACAUUUUUCUUUUAGUUCAAAUAGUUCUUAGCAUCUUAGUGAUAAGGGAUAAGAGACAAGUACCCAUAGACUAUGACCGAAAUCUCAGAGACAUAUCUUAACUAAUCUAAGAUCCUAUUAUCUCCCGAACUCAUUUUUCGUGUAAUUUUGUACACCUUUUGGCUUACGUGGCACACUCUGUGACUCCACUUAGGUGAGGCGCGUGAGAGAUGUUUAGAGGCCCCGUAGGCCAAAAAGGUGUAUAAAAUUACAAAAAAAAAGUCCAGGGGGGUAUUAUGACCUUAGUUUAGUUAAGGUGUGUCUCUAGAAUUUCGGUCAUAGUCUAGGGGGUACUUGUGCCUUAUCCCCUAGUGAUUAUAAUAUAUUAGCCAUCAACAUGUGGACUGUGGUGAGAUGAUAGUGAUCACUUUAUCUUUAAUUAAAGAUUUCGGGGUUGAGCUCUUAGAAAUGAACAAAUUCUAUUGGGAUUAUCCCCCCCCCCCCCCCCAGAAAUCAUGUGCAUUACAAUGAGCGAACAUGAAUUUAGUCAAGCUCAAAUACAAGUACCAAAUUAGCAUGGUGGAUUGUAGUGCAAUGGUUGAGAUCACUUCAUCUUUAACUAAAGAUCUCGAGUUUGAGCUCCUGAAAAUGAAAAACUUUUGUUGGGAUGACUGUCCUCUAGAAAUGAGCAUUACAAAGCGUAAAUCUGAAUUUAGUCGAACUCCAACACGAAUACUGAAUAUCGAGUGUGAAACUAAUAAAUAAAUCUUAGCCCAUGCCUUUUUCUUUUCUUUUCUUUCCUUUUAAAUGUCUAAAGUUCAUUUAGUUUUAGUUGUCUUUGUGGUUGGAUCAUGGACAGGCAAGAAUAUAAAGGUGAAAGGUCUUUUUCAUUAAUUAAAAGAUCCUACAAUACUAACAUAUUGCAUCAAAAAGUAAAAUUAGGAUUUUAAGUUUUAUAGAUAUUGAAUUUUAGAAAAAUACAAUUUAUUGGUCUUGUGAUAAUUUAGUCAUACAUGUUAGAUGAAUUUUUAAAUGUAAAUUUAGGAGUUUCAUUCUCUGUAAUCGAAUUUGUAAGCAAAACUUUAGUUUUACCCUUGCAUAUAACAUGUAUGGCCUAAAGGCUAAAACCAAAUCUUAAUAAUAGGAAGUUUAAAAAAUUAUUCACUAAAACUUGUUCAUGUUUGUUUAGAUUUUUGUCAUUUUACACGCACUUUCACUAUUCAUCUUAUCAUCAGAAAAGAUAUCGAGUAACUCGACUUUUUACAAAUCCUUUUAUUGUUCUUGGAUAGGGUAGGCUAGGGAAGCCCAACCUUAUGGGUUGGCCCAAUAUCGAUCCAAUCACCCCAAUGCCUUUAUUUGGGUUACAAGCCCACUAUUAAGUUCAACCUCGCCAGCUAUAGAUAAUUGUCUAAUAAAUAUUUUGGUUUACGAUAAAGUUAUUUAAAAAAAAUUCCUAUCAUCUUAUAAUCUUCAAAUUUAUAAUCAAGUUUAAUGGACAAAUAUUUUGAAGUGAAAAGAAAAACAUUGAUCUAUUUAAGAUGUAGAAAUUAACAAUUAACUAUUAAUACAAUACCACAUAAGCUAUAUAUUACGUACCAUGGACCUAAUUAAUAUGGUCACUCAAUUAAUAGAAAUAUUAAUACAACUAAAAUAAGUCAGAAAUUAUCAAAUAGAACUUAGUAAAAGAUGAUCAAUUGGAGAAGAAUGCUUCAUCUUUCUUCAUAAUUCUUAGCCUCUUCACUCGAUCUACGAAUUCACUGUACAAAUAAUAAGAAUUUAAGUUUUAUACAUUAACGAUAUCAAAUAUAUUUAAAUAAUCAAGUUAGUUAUAAAGUAAGAUGAAUCUAUAUGAUGAUAACAUUAAUUGGAACUUUAUAAAAUGAUAACGAACUUGUUAUCACAUGUAAAUCAUGUAAACUCAAGAAAAGGAGUUUAAUUUAAUCCCUUUACCCAAAAAAAAAUAUAUUUUACAAAAAUAUUUCUCACGAAUCAUUUUGGAUUAAUCAUCUAGACCUAGUUCAAAUAGUUCAAAUUUUAAAUUUCAUAGAAUAAAGCACACAACAAAAUAGACAAAUGAAUGAAUCAUUAGUUCAGUUGAACUUAAAUCAAUCAGACAAUUAUAUUUUCAUAGGUUAAUUUUAUCGUCCAAUCAUUAGUUCGGUUGAACUUGGACCGAUCAAGCAAAUCAUAUUUGCAUAGGUUAAUUUUAUCGUCCCUACCUACCUACAUGUAUUAAUAAUAUCAAAAAGUACUUAAUGAUUAAAAAAAAUACUCACUUCCAUGGAACAUCACCAACAAUCCUCCAUUGGUCAUUCCUGUCUUUGUAAAAUAAUGAAAACUCUGAACCAUCUUGGAAUAGCCUUAGCCCAUCCAUACUUUGUUUUCCUUUAUACCAUUUAUAAAUAAAAGAAACAAAUUAUGAGGUAAUUAAACAUAUUAUUUAAAAAAACGAAUAAAAAAUAAAACUUGGUAAGAGUUGGACGAGUUAGGCUAUGACCAAACUCAGUCUAGAUCUAUCUCAACCCAAUAAUGUUUGAGGGGGUCAUUAAUUCACUUGCUCAUUCAUUAAUUUAGUUUUGACCUGGUCAAAUUCAGCGCAAUCUGCUUAUUUGACACCCCUACCUACCUACCUACAACUACAUUUAAAAUGACCUAAUAAUAGUGUAAUAAUAAAUGAUAAUUUUGAUAUUUUAGAACAUACCAAACAUGUCUUCAAGUUGUAUUGCAAGGCUAGAAUAGCUUGAAUGUUCAAGAAUGCAAAUUUUUCUUCCAACAAUAACUCCAUCCAUAUUAACUUUCACAUAUUCCCAUCUCUCUUUGCUUUGAAUCCCUUCACUUUCAUCAUCAUAAUUAUUAAUUUCCAUAAAAUUUGUAGGAUAUUCACUUCUUGAAUUUUUGCUUGAUUGUGGAUGCAAAUGUUGCCAAUCUAUCAACUCAUCAUAGCCACCUGCAUGAAUUAGUACUUAACAAUUAAGUCCUAAGUUGCUCGAACUCCCCAAAAAUACUUUCACACCUAUGUCAGAUCCUCCAAAAGUGUUCUACUUUGAAGGGUCCGACCCGCACACACAAUGACUUUUUUGAAAAGUCCAAGCAACAUAGAUUAAAUUCAUUAAAUAUUAGUUUCACUAAGGCCUAAGUUGCUUGAACUCCCCAAAAAUACUGCCACACCUAUUUCAGAUCCUCCAAAAGUGUACUACUUUUGAAGGGUUCGACCCGCACCCACAAUGAUUUUUUUUUAAAAGUCCAAGCAACAUAGAUUAAAUCCAUUAAAUAUUAGUUUCACUAAUAUCAAUCAAUUUUAACAUAGCACUUUGAACUUUUUAAAAGCUUGGUCAAACAUGCUUUAAACUUUUCAUGUCACUUCUAUAUAUAUAUAUAUAAAUAUAACUAUAAGAAUAUGUCAUUAAUAAGAAUAAAAUCCAAAACUAAAUUUGUUUCCAAAUUAAAUUUUACUCAUGAAUCUUAUAACUUCUCAUUAGUAUACAAUGAUUAAGGAAAGGUUCUCACUUAAAUAAGUCUUAUAUGACGCAAAUCUGAAUUAGUCGAACUGUGAUACAUAUACCAAAUAUCGAAUGGAACCAAAAAAUUGAUUAAAGAAUAGUCUUCAGAAAUAAAAGAUGAAAACAUAAACAUACCAUGAGUAGAUGGAUAAUAGGCCUCAGGCUGCAAAGCUCUAAGACUUAGUCCCAAAUCAAUAAAAUUACCAUUCUCCUUAUUAUUGGUUUGAUCAUAAUAAACAGAAGGAAGAGUGGUUGCAUGGUUUAGAAGAUAUUCAGAAGAAUUUGAAUCCAUAUUUGACUCGUUCACAAAAUAAAUAUUUUGCUAUGUCAAUGUAGAGAUAAAUAGAAGCAAGAUAUAUGAUUGAAAUAAAUUAAAGAGACAUAUAAGCUCUAUAUAGUAGUAUUAGUUGUUUGUAUUCAGAAUUUAGACGUUUGAGACUAAAAUAAGUUUGGACUUAUUAUAUAUAUGCAAUUAAUUUUUUUCGAGAGGGGAGCCUUGAAGUAAUGGUAAUAAAGUUAUCAGUUAUAUAGGUCAUGAGUUCGAGCGAUAAAAUCAAUUGUUGAUGUUUGCGUCUGAAUAGACUGUCUACAUCACACUUUAUUGGGGUGCAUGCAACUAGCCUUUUCGAUAACCCUGUGUGAACGUAUUAUAUUUCGUGCACCAAAAUAUCCCUUUUUAUGUGCGUACAAUUCGAAGGAAAAAUAAUAAAGUAAUGAAUUCAGUUGAAGUCACGUAACACGUCCCAUUCUCCCUUGUACUUUUCAUGUCCGUGCAAAACAAAACACACUUCUCGCAAGAAUAGAAAGAAAUCUAGCUAUAUGCUUGAAACAAAGAGACAUAUAAUUAAGCUCUAUAUAUUAUAUUAUAUAGUAUAGUACACUGUUCAGUGAUAAAUUCAGAAUUUAAAUAUAUCGGGUUCAAAAUUAGUUUAUACCUUUUAUAUAAAUUCAUUAUUUCAUAUAUAUACAUGUACAAUUCGAGAAAGGAAUAAUAUUUGAAGCAGCAAUAUAGAAUUAUUGCUUGCGUCAAAGUAGACGUACUGUAUACGAUGUCAUAUCCCUUCCCUGGACUUAUGUUUCGUAUUCUGAGCUACCCCUUUUAUACGUGUAUAAUUUACGCAAAAAAAUAAUAAAUCUAGUUGAACUCAUAGAACGCGUACUACUAUAUAGUACUUUUCAUGUCCAUGCAAAACAAAACACACUUGUUGCAAGAAAAGAAAUGAAUCUAUCUAGGUUAAGAAAAAUGCAAACAUGAGUGGUGGACUUAUUUCCCAUAAUCAAUCAUUGUAGUGUUAGUUAAUUUUGUAAUUUUUAAUUUUCUGACAUUUAUAACAUGGAAAAUCUCAAUGGAUAACAGAAAAGAAAACAAGAUAUGGGCACAAAAAAUCCAACAAAAGUAGGGUUCAUAUGUUGUAUACUUCCAACACUACAAAGAUCUUUGCAAUAUGUUAAAUUUUAGUCUCUACCGAGGCGGAUUUAAAAUUUAAAUUAUUUGUAUUCAGAUCGUUGCUAAAUCUAUUGAUCAGUGGUGAAAUCAUCUUUUCGAUUGUUCAUCAAAAAAUUAUACUUGUAGAUAUAAGUCAGUUUAUUGUUUGGCCGUGUGAGUAUACAUAUUUGAGGGAUCACGAAUUAAAAUUUUAAAUUAUUUGUAUUCAGAUUGCCGUUGAACAUAUUAAUCAAAGGUGAGAUCAUCAUUUUCAUUAUUCAUCAAAUAUUUAUACUUUGUAGAUAUAAGUUAAUUUAUUUUCUUGAUGUGUGUCUUCAACGUAUAUAAGAAUAUUCUUGACUUAUUGAUUAUGUUUUUACUUUUUUAUAUUCUGAAUCCUCUUAGUGAAAAUUAUAGCUUCUCCACUCAUAUUAUAUACCGUUUAAAUUAUUAGAUUCGAAAUUUAAUAUUUCUGGUCAAUUUUUUGAUAAUUAAAUUUAUUGAAUGGUCUUUUGAGUGUUAAAUUUUUGACACAUCUGACACAACUAAACACAUAUGUAUGUCUAUGGCUCAACAGGGCCUACAAACAUCAUCAGAAUUGACUCAGAUAUUAUGCAAAAUUUCAGAAAAGGAUAAACAAAAUCAAUUAAUUCCAGAAAUCUUUUGACUUUGGAUUUUAAUUUUCUGGGAUAUAUAUAUAUAUAUAUAUAUAUAUAUAUUCUUCCUUUUAAUCCUUGUUUUUUUCUUCUUAUCUUGUGAAUCCCAACCCAUAUUGUAUGACCAUUGAUUUAGUGACACGUCAUGAAUGUGUACAUGAUCGAAGCUAAGAUCAGUUGAACUCAGUAACUUUUGAUUAAAACAUAAUCGUAUAUUUUAUGUCAAGAAAUUCAUUAAAAUAUGUAUAAUUAUUAACUUUAGAAUCGAGUUAAUAUGACUUUAAAGUCAUCGUUUCCACAAUCCAAAACCCAUAAAAUCUAGUAAAUCCUAAUUCCUAGGUGGUUAGGUUCUCCUCUUUAACUAUAUGCCAAGCCUAUCAUAUACCUACUCCCUCCGUCCAUUUUUAUUUGUUAUGUUGCGUUUUUUGAAAAUUAAUUUGACUAAUUUUCAAGUUAAAUAAGAUUACAUUAAUUCGAUAUUUUAAACAAAAAAUUUAGAUAUUCAAAAACUAUAUAUACGAAAAGUACUAUAAAUUGUAAUUUUUGCAUACCAAUAUGAUAAAAAAAAUACAUCAUAAAAUGUUAGUCAAAGUUUAUAUAGUUUGACUCUAAAAAGGAAAACUAUGACAAUUAAAAGUGGACGGGGUAGUAAAUAUCAUCACUCCUAGCAUGAUUUUUCAUACUUCAAAAUUUGUUUAUUUUAAAAAAUAUUUUUUUUAAAUAAUGCACGUGAGCGAAUUUACUCUCGAAAUUAUGAUUCACGUGAAUUCAUGAUUUUAAAGAAUUGAUCUAAUAUUAUUUAUUAAUUCAUGUAGUUUAUUGUUGAGUUAUUUGUUCAAAGAAAUAGUGAUUGAUCCUCACUUAGUUACAUAAAAAAAAAUCAGUUUAAACUUAUAUGUAUUAUCUAGAUAUAUUGAGUAUUAAAGCUAUGUACACACUAUUCAAAAGAAAAUAAUAUAUGGUAAAAUUUGUUAAGAAUUAUAUAGUAAGGAAUAUGAAACUAAGCUUGAUAAAUCUAGAAAUUUUGGGACUGCCUAAGCACAAACAUAAUGUCAAAUUAUUUGAAGUUUGAUUUUGACAAAUUUAAUUUAAAUUUAAAUUUACAAAAAAUUAUAAAAUUUUGAUUCUGUUUAAUAAAGAUCCUAAAAUGGCCUAUAUGUGCAAAUUUCCUCCAAAGUCUUCUGCACAUUGAUAGAGUUUUUUUUUUUAAAAAAAUAAAAAAUAAAAAAUAAAAAUUGGGGGUGGGGAAAUAGAGGGGAUUACAAUGUGGGGGAAUCGAACACUUGCCAACAAAGUGGGUGUUCAGAUAGCUCCCAUGAAAAUUGAUAGAGCCGCCUUUUAUGAUGCGUAGUUUUUACUUGUCCUUCGAAAGAAAACCACUUUGAAGUGUUUAAACUGUUGGGUUCAAAAGUGAUAAUGGCGUCAAGCGGAAACUUACAAUUACAAAUUAUGGAGGUGAUUAAUAAGAUGAUAAAUAAAAACAUAUUAUUAUAUGAUUUGGCCAAGCGACCUACAUAUUAUAAAGCUAAUAUUGAAAAAAACAUGCAUGUUAGGAGAAAAUCUCCCCAAAAACAAAACCCUCUAAACGACUACAUUGUGGAUGCUAUUGAGUUCUUUUGGCAUGAGAAAAUGGUCUUCAAUUUAUAGAAUUUCAAAUUUUUCCUAUGAGGAAAGAAUAACCCAAAUAUUGAAGAAAAUUAUAUUUUCCUUUCAUGAAAAAGUUAAAAUAUUUAUGAUAAUACAUGAAUUUUCCUUCAAAAGAAAAAUAAAACUCAAAUAAGACAAAUAAAAAGGGGGUAAAACCCUAACAUAAACAUUGUCAUAAAUCAAUUAAAUAAAAAUAUUCAAAACAAAGUCCGGCUUAAUUUUUAAAAAAAGACUCUAACCGAUAGAUUAUUUUCAAAUAUCGAGUAAGAGAUUUCUAUUUUCAUUUUAAAACGGUAAUUGCGUCUUUCACAAUAAUUUUUUUUUGAGGAUGUAAGUUUAACUAGUAAUUGGUGUGCAAAAUUUGAUGACAGAAAAAUAUAUUAGUGGAUGAGGUUUGUGUUGUUGCAAUCACAUUUGUUCCUAGCGAUUCAGAGACGGUGGAGAUAUUAUCGUCCUUUGCCAUUGGUGUCAAUCACUAACCAAGAGUCCUAGUUGAUUACGGUACAUACACAACAAAACCUAAAACUAGGAUACAAGAAGAAAUCAAAACAUAGUUGAACUCGUCCAUAUUAUCUUCAUCAGGUAUUAACACUAGAAAUAUCUACUAACAUGCUAUUAUCCAAUAAUUUAACUGUAAUAAGUAACAAUUUAACUAGUACUGUUUGACUGACUUGAACAAUUAAUUUUAAAAGUAAAGGGAAAAGAGACAUUUGAGUCCUUUUUUUGAAAGGCUUUUAACAAAACUUGUUAGGGUUUUUGUUCUGAUUUUUUUACCUUAUUUGAAGUUUAUUUUUUCCUAAAAGUAAAGUCAAAGUAUUACCAUAAAUGCUUUAAUUUUUUCUGAAAAUAAAAUAUAAUAUUCUUUCAUAUUUGGUUUAUUCUUUCCUUUUAGGAAAAGGUUUUUGGAGUAGCUAGUUCUUUUCUAGUAGGAAAGGUUUUAGGACUCUAUAAAUAUAGGUUUGUUUCUUCUAACACAAUAAUAACAAUAACAUCCACAAUGUAGUCGUUUAAGAGUCUUGUUUAUGGGGAAAUUUAUUCUCUCUAAAGUUUCAAUGUUUUUCUUUAUAUUAGUUUUGAUAUAAUAAUAUUUUAAUUUUUAGUAUAAGUUUUUUAUUAUCUAAUUUAUCAACUAUAUGAUUUGCAAAUUGUAAGCUUCCGCAUGAUGCCCUAAUUAUCCUUCAGAACCCAACAAAACUUUGGGUCGGUCUGCUGCUUCUCUUUUGUAAUGUCACGUAAAUUGUAAUGUAUGGUCUUGGUCCAAUUUUUUGAGCUUCCCUUGCAUUAAAUCUAACUUGUCCAAUUCAUUUAAGUUUCAUAGCAAAAUUCGUUUCUGUUGGGAAACAAUGAAAUAUCACAAAAAUAAUAGUACUAAAAGUUAGAUACGAUAAUAUUUUAAAAUUAGAUAGCUUAGAAUUUAAUUUCAUACUUUAAUUCAUGAUUGUGUCAAUUUUUUUGUUAUUGGGAGAAGGCACAAGUACCCCCUAAACUAUGACCGAAAUCCCAGAGACACACCUUAACUAAACUAAGAUCCUAUUACCCCCUGAACUCAUUUUAUAUAUAAUAUUGUACACCUUUUGGUUUAUGUGACUCCACGCAGUUGAGACGCGUGGGAGAUAUUUGGAUGCCACGUAAGCCAAAAAGGUUUACAAAAUUACAAAAAAAAUGAGUUCAUGGGGGGUAAUAGGACCUUAGUUUAGUUAAGGUGUGUCUUUAGGAUUUGAUUCAUAGUCUAGAGAGGUACUUCUACCUUUUCCCUUUCAUAAUGUGACAGUGCUUGUUUUUGAACAAUAUGUCAUUUGUCAAUUCAUGUCCAUAAUUUAUUUGAUCUGUUAUCUUGUUUCUAAUUGAUUUUUUUGUGUGUCAAAUCUUGAUGGAUAAACUAAUAACCGAACCGAUAAUGAUCAAUAAGCGUUAAACUAAUAAUCGAUAAGUCAAUAUCUUAAUGGUUCAGUAACGAUUUUGCAUAUUUAACAGACUGAUAACUGCUAAACUUCGUCAAAAUUAAACCGAACCAAUCAAUACGAAGUUCUACUCCUCAAAUCUCAUUGUGAAAUUUCAUUGAAUAUGUUGUUUUUAAUUAUUAUUUUAUCUCAAAUUAAGUAAUUUAGGUAUUAUCCUUUAAUGUGCUAGCAAAACAAAAUUUUCUAUCGAUCAUGACUAUUUAUUUUUGUCAAAGACCAAAUGGCCCCUAAUAUGUUUGUUUGUUUUUUCUGUAUAAAAAGAGAAAUCAGUAAUUUCUUCAUUUAAAGUUCAGCAGCUACUGCAGCUUUCCAUUUCUUAAAGAGAACCACCUUUUCAAUUUUUCAUCCAAAAAUUAUCAAUUUAUUUUUCUAAUGUACAUACAUAUAUUAAAUAUUUGUUAUUCUUAGCUUCUUUGUAUAUAUUUUUUUUUGUGAAUUCUAAAUCCUCUUAACGAAAAAUUAUAACUUGGUCACUUAUGUUACACAAUUUGAAUUAAUUAAAUAAAACCUUGAACACUUGAAAUAUCACUAACAUGCAAUUAUCUGAUAUUUUUUAACUAAAACUGCUAAACUCAUACAUUCAAAAUAAUAAUAAAACGAUUUUUCCUAACAGAAAAUUAAGCUGGACAUGAAAUCUCACUGCUCCAAUGACAUGAGAUUUGUGUUGGGUUAUGAAGGUGAUUAGGGUGUCAUGCGGAAGCUUACAAUUGCAAAUCAUAUGAUAAUAAAUUAGAUGACAAAAACUUAACCAAAAACAUAAUAUUAUUAUUAUAUGAAAAACUAAUAUAAAAGAAAAUACUAAAACUGUUAAAAGAAUAAAUCUCUCCAUAAACUAAAAUCUCUAAGCGAUUACAUUGUGGAUUUUAUUGUAUUCUGCUAUGAAAAUAGGGAUAUUCUAGGUAUCAAACGGCAUUUUGCGUCCACCGAAAUUGGACUGUCCACCGAAACUGGCAUUUUGCGUGUGGGAGAUGCUAUUCUAGGUAUCAAACGGCAGUGGCAUUGCACCAUUACCGUUGUCAUUGUCGAUAGUUUUAUUUUUCGUUGUUACUUAGUUUUCGGUUCUUCUUCUUUUCUAUCUCACAAUCAUGGUCGAUAAUUUUAUCUUCCCUUGUUUUUCCUUCUUCUUUUCUAUCUCACAAUUGUCGUCGAUAGUUUUGUUUUCCGUUGUUACUUAGUAUUCGAUUCUUCUUUUUAUUCUUCUAAUCUAUCUCACAAUCGCCGUCGAUAAUUUUGUUUCCCGUUGUUACUUAGUUUUCGGUUCUUCUUUUCCUUCAUCUUUUCUAUCUCACAAUUGUCGUCGAUAGUUUUGUUUUUCGUUGUUACUUAGUUUUAGGUUCUUCUUUUCUAUCUCACAAUCGCCGUCGAUAGUAUUGUUUUCCGUUGUUACUUAGUCUUCGGUUCUUUUUUUCCUUCUUCUUUUCUAUCUCACAAUUGUCGUCGAUAGUUUUGUUUUACGUUGUUACUUAGUUUUCAGUUCUUCUUUUCUAUCUCACAAAUCGUCGAUAGUUUUGUUUUCCGUUGUUACUUAGUUUUCGAUUCUUCUUUUCUAUCUCACAAUCGCCGUCGAUAGUUUUGUUUUCCGUUGUUACUUAGUUUUUGGUUCUUCUUUUUCUUUUUAUCUCACAAUCGCCGUCGAUAGUUUUGUUUUUCGUUGUUACUUAGUUUUCGGUUCUUCUUUUUCUUCUUCUUUUCUAUCUCAUAAUUGUUGUUGAUAGUUUUGUUUUUCGUUGUUACUUAGUUAUCGGUUCUUGUUUUCCUUCUUCUUUUCCAUCUCAUAAUCACCAUCGAUAGUUUUGUUUUCCGUUGUUACUUAGUCUUCGAUUCUUCUUUUCCUUCUUCUUUCCUAUCUCACAAUCGUCUUUGAAAAUAAUAAAUUUUAUAUUUUAAAAAAUGCAUCGGCAAAUGACUAUAAUUAAUAAUAACAGUGAAUUAGGAAUUAAGUAAUAAGUUAUCACUUGAUUUUCUAAAAUAAACAAGUAACAAAUGAACAAUUAUUUAUAAUGUAAUGAAUAAAUAAAAAUGGACAAAGGGAAUAGUGGCUAGAAAAAAAUUCGUAAAAGAGUUAGUUGAUAUAAUACUUUUGAUUUUUUUAUCAGUACGUGAAAAUUGUUAUCUAAUGUCACUUUUUUUUUCUUUUUUUGGUUCACUUUUACUUGUUUUUAAUGUUCACCUUGAGCAUUCUAUAAGAACUUAAAGAAUGAAUGAUUGGAAAAAUGAUUUCGAAUAAAUAAUUAGUGUUAAUCAUAGUAACAGAAAAUAAAUAUUAGUUUGUUUAAAAAUGUUCACUUUGUGUUAUGUAAUUAUUUUCUUACCGAGUAUAUCAUAUGGGUUGAUUUAAAAGCUAUUUUUUUUUAAUUAUUAGUGAAAAGGGAAUAAUAUGUGACAUGACAUUCAUUAGGAGAGAGAAAGAUGUUUUUUUUGUGUGAAGUAUAUUUUGAGGAAAAUAUGCAAAGUUAGGUGAUAUUGUAGUCCUACAACAAACAAAAGUGAUAUUAUUACGUAAUUUUCCAAACAUGGGUGACUAUCUCGGGAAAUUACUCUAUGGGUGUUAUAUUAAACUUACGGCCCAUUUGACCAUGCAAUAUGGUAUCAUGAUAUGAUAUCAUUAUAUGGAAUUAUGAGAUGAAAUUGAAGUUUUGUUUGGACAUGCGAUAUGGAAUUUUUGUGUUGUAUAUUUUCUCAUAAGCGUAAGAAUCUCAUAAGUUGUAAAACUAUUAAAAUAGCCCCAAUUGUUUAUUUAAUCUUACCAAAUAAAUAAAAAAUUAUAAAAAUUGCAUAAUAAAUUAUUACAAAGCUAUUUGUUCUCAAUUUAAGUAAUUGUUUCAUCAAACUUUAAUUCAAUAAAAAAAAAUUGAACAUUAAUUGUAGUGUACUAGUCUUUAAUAUAAUCCUCUUACAUAGUAUGGACAAUUUUCUCACGUUGAACUUGCAUUUCUCGAUCAUGUGACCGAGAAGACGAACCAACAUUGUUACUUUGAGUUGUAAUAAAUACAAAACGGUAGAAGUGAUAAAUUAGGUUUUGGACUAAAUGAAGAGAACAAAUUUAUUACUUAGCAAUCGGUUGGUGUGAGUUAAAGUGACUAUAUGUAGUGAGAAUAAUAAAUUUUAUGUCGACGAGAAUAAUAAAUUUUAAAAAGUAAUGAUGUGAUUAUAUAUUUUAUUUACAUAUGAAAUAAAUGGUUAGGUAGAUAUAAAUGUGGGAUUGUUUUAACAAAAUAUAAACUUGUGGAUCAAUUUUUGUACUAAAAAUAUCUCAAAUCGUGAUAUGGAAUUCUCAUAUCAUGAUUUUUGGAGAAUAUGGAAUCAUGGUAUAGAAUCAGCGUAAAAUCGCAUGUCCAAACGCUGAUUCCAUCUUACAAUUCCAUAUCGUGAUAUGGUAUCGCAUGGUCAAACGCCUAGUUAGAGCUGACAAAUUUAGCUCAAUACAUGCAAAUUGUGGUACUGUACAGUGGGGACAUAAAUGUGAUUAAUAAAAUGUCAUUUGUUUUUUUCGUCGAUUAGAAUAAGGGUACAACUUUUGAUGGCUCACUUACAAGACUUAUUUAGCAGUAACCAGAGUAAAUACCAAAUAUGUCCUUAUGGUAGAUAGAAGUUAAAACACAUGCGAUUUCAAGUCUCAUAUUUUUAUUUUUUUAUUUUUCUUAAGUCUCAUUUUUUACAUAUAAGACUUAUGAUGGUUUUCAGGAGAGGUAAAGGUAGAUCCGACAUGACAUGCCUAAAAUUUAUCAAGAUCGAAAAUUAGAAUAGAAGGCUAAUAGUGUAGGUAAUUGAGCAUUAUUAAGUCUUUAAUUUUAUUAUUACUUGUUGUUUUCGUUGCUUCGGCUAUGUACUCUUUCUGAUAGCGGCUUAUUUUUUACUCUCUUUUUAAUUUAUUUGUCUGAUUUUUAUUUGACAUGAAUUUUUAGAAAGUAAAAAAAAAUUGAAUCGUAUGGUCUUAAACUAAAGAUAUAUAUGUAAAAUGCAUCAAAAUAUAUUUAACAUUGUGGCAUGUAAUGUGGAAAGUUAAAAUUAGAAAGUUACUAAAAAAAUAAAUAAGGCAACAAACUGAAACAAAGAAAGUACAUUAAUUUUUCACUAUUAUUUUUCUUUCAAUACUUCACAAAAUAAAAAUAUGAUCGCAUACACACCAUCUUUUUCGAACCUCACUGAGAGAAUAUAUAAAGGGUUGUAAAAAAUAUUUGUACAGUAUAUAUGAUUAGUGGAUUUAACCAUGCUCAAAUGAUGUUAGCUCAUAUAAAGGAGUGAAAUGACCUAAAAGUUAUUAUAAUUAUGAAUUCAACUCCAAAAUAGUACUGAACACUGACUAAAUUGAUUAAAGUUGUCGACAGCAAAGCCAAAAGGGUAAAGAAAAUAUAAUCAUAGGUUCAUUUUUCUUUUAUAAUCGUGAUAUUCGGGCUAACCUAUCGCACCUAACUAGUUUCACAAGAUAUUUACUAUCGGCUACCAUUCAGGGGAGGACCUAGAGGUAGUUGAGGAGGUUCACGGCAAAAAAUUACAUUAUAUAUUUGUAGGUAUUUUAGAGAGUUUUUAUGUUUAUGUAUUGAUUUUGAACUUUCUAAAUGUAAGAUUAAAGGUUGACUUAGUGAUUGAGGGGUUCGAAAUUCACCUAGAAGUUGUAAGUUCAAAUCAUAAGGACUACUCUUUUUUUUCCAAACCCCUUAAUGGAAAUUCAGAAUCAGCCACGUAAGAAAUUUAAACUAUAAAAUAUGAUUUUUCUACCUAACCAACUCAUUGAAAAAAUACAUGAUAGAAUACAGAUUCUCACUGAAAUAGUGAAGAAAAUUCUAAAAAAAAUUUGUAUGAAAACAUAAUUAUUUUUUAUUUUCUCGCCGAUUCAAUCAAAAAAAUCUUUGAAAAUAGUCAUUGAAAAUUUUUUUGAAAGCCAAAAGAGUGAUCUUUUAGUAGUGAAAACUAUUAAUUUAUUAUUAUUAAUAUUGUAUACAGGAAAAAAAAAAUAUUGUAUAUAGGUAAAUAACUUUUUAUUUUCCCCAGAAUUCAAAUUUACCUAAAGGCUUAGACAAAAUGUCUCUCAAAUAAUUAUAAUUAUUAGAAAAGGUAAAAGGGAAGGUGAAAAAGUACAAAAAGGAAUAUUUACAAAAUAAAAGUACUAAUAAUAAGACACCAAGUAUUUUGUUUCCAAAUUAAAAACAGCACAAAGAAAAAGACAGAAAACAACUGUAUUUUGAAAAAAUCAAUAAUUUUGCCACCCUCCAACAGAUCCAAAGUAUGAAAAACAACUUUCAAUAAAAAUCAACAGUUAUAUGUACACUUAUUUCUUCAUCCCAAUUCAUGUGACAAUAUUAUUGAUUACAUAAAAAACCUUUUUUUCUUUAAAUAUGGCGUUUUUAGUUGUUAACAAUGUUGACUUAUAGUAAUCUUCAUAUAAUUUUUAAAUAUAUCAAAAUUCACAUUAAAAAAAUAAAUACUUUAGCUCUCGUACUCUGAACGUUUUCACAUUAAUUGAACCACCAUUUAUGCAAAUGAUCAUUUUUAGGUUACGAUUUACAUGAACAAAAUAUAUUGGACUGUCAUCUAACGUCUACAAAACCUGCGAUCUAACGUUUUCUCAUUCAAUUCGCUCAAUAAGAUAUUUAAAUCAUCAUAACUUUAAAAAAAAAACAAGAAUCAUUUACUAAGCAGCUAACCGACGAAACAUUUCCUAAUAGGACAAAGGGAGGCACAUAAUUUCAAAUAUUUCAAAACCAUAUACAAAUGAACCAAAAAACCUUUGAAACAAUAAUUCAUUUGUUCUCUUCUUCUUCUACUUUGUGAUCUCUCUAAAUUUCAUUUUCUUUAACACAAUGCCAAUAUCAACAAUUGAUCAUCAAUAUUCAACAUUCAAAGAUCCAAAAAACAACACUCAUUCUACCCCUAAUCAUCAAUUUUCCAACACAAAUGACUCAAAUGUAUCAAAAAACAAGAAGAAAUUUAUGUCUAUGAGCUUUGGAGGGCUAGGAUGUAAGGGAAAAUUGAACUCACUGGUUGCGUCGGCGCCGGAAGUUAUUAGAUCAGCAGCACAAUGGGAGAGUAGUAGUAAGCAAAUGAGGAAAAAUAGAAGGAAAAAGAUGACAACAUUGACAACAAAUACUAGGAAUUCAACUAAUGUUGUUUGUUGUGCUCCUCCUGGUAUUGGUUCUGCUUUUGAUGUUGCUCCUAGGCCAAAAACAAGAUCAAAUAACAAAGAGGUAAAUGGAUUUAACUUAUAUAUACUGAUCAGUGUAAUUUACUUGCUUCGUUUCAAAAUAAGUGUCGCUAAUAAGAAAUAUGAGGUAUAGUUUAGUAUGUUACAACUAUUUAUUAGAUGUUUUUUGAGAAUUGGUUCUACUUUUGAUGUUUCUCCUAGGCCAAAAACAAGAUCAAAUAGUAAAAGAGAGGUAAAUGACCUUUUUAUAAUGGAUUUAAGUUAUAUAUACUUUCAAAAUAAGUGUCGUUUUAGCUCAUUUCAGGACCAUUAAGAAAAAAAAAGAACGGAUAUUUCCUAAGUUACUUUUAUUUACUAAAUAUUUCUUGAGAAUUGAGCACUAUUAAUGAGAAGAAGUUUUUUAAUACAAGGGUAUAGUUGGAAAUAAUUAUUAUUUGUGUCUUGAAUUCGUAGAGCAACACUUAUUUUGGGAUGGAGGGAUAUAUGUUAUAGUAAAUUACUUACCAUUGUAGUAUGGAGAAGUGUCCUCAAAGGGGGAUCGGGUUUAAGUUCCCUAAAAAGGGGUACAAGAGAGAGAGUGAGAGCCCCCGUUAUGUCCGGACCCUGUUGCACGAUGAGGCACUGCUUUAGAGUCGAGUAGUUUGGGAAUGUAGCCCAAAUCAGGCAAAUGAAUUCCGUCCAAGGCUAAAAACGGUUGAGAGACCGAUAGCGGGGAAAAAUUUGACCAGUUAUUACUAGCUAAAUUUCAAAGGACUUGAUUGUGUCAGUAUUUUUUUUUAUUUACAUCGUCAAUGCAUAAAACUUAAAUUCGUUUAUUUUACGUAUAGUAAAUGUGACUUGUUUAAAAGGAGUGAGAUUGUCUCCCCUGUUGUCCCUGGUUACAGUUAUAUAAAAGUCCUGUUAUGGACUUUAUAGGUUUACAACUAGAGGCGGUUUAGAAUUUGAACUUUAUGGAUUUUUUAUCACAAUCCAUUUGAUUUACUGAAUUCGAUAUCGACUAUUUGUAUUUGUUUGGUGAAUUUUUUAACACAUAUAUAAGGUCUGACUCAAAGCUACUGACUUAUCAUGAACCCGUAACAUAUACACUAGAUCCUAUCUAUAUCACUCAAAACUCUACAAAAAUACUACCACAUAUGUGUCAGAUCCUUCAAUAAUACACUACUUUUAGAGAAUCUCGUGACAGUUUUGAAGACUCUGAGCAACAUUACAUCCUGUAAGACCUUGUUGCUUUUGCUACAUUACUCCUCUGUUUUUGUAUGAUUAAGUUCAUCUCAAUGUCACAAUUCACUAAUAAAAACUUACUAAAUUGUGUAUUGUUUUGGAUUUAAUUCAAUCGAAUAGCACUCUCGUAUUGCGAGGAGAACGUCUACGAAUGGUGAAGCAAUUUCUAGGUCUCAUACGUCUAAUACAAGACAUCAUUGCCCUCGUUCUCAUCAUCGUCCUCAUGUAAGUAAAAAAACUUAUCUGCCCCUGAUGUUUACAUCAAUCCCGUCCUUAUUUACUAUCUUGAACAUUUCUCGUUAUCGUUGUAGAUUAUGAUACUCAGACACAACUUGCAAUAUGCUAGAGAUAUAGAAGGGGAUGAUCAAUAUGGAUCUUGGAGACUAGAUGUAGAUGAUAUGUCAUACGAGGUUCGUCUUUUAAAUAUACUGAUAGUGUAAAAAUUCUUUACCUUGACGAUAUAUAAGUUAAUUUCUCUUUACAAUAUAGUUUUUUUUUUUUGCAGCAAUUGGUUGAACUAAGUGAUAAAAUUGGGUAUGUGGGAACAGGUUUAGAAGAAGAGAAGAUAGUUGAAUAUAUAAGAAAAUUUAAGCUCUCAACAAUUGACUCAUAUUCAAUGCUAAUAUCUACUGAUAAAAGUUGGAGAUGUACCAUUUGCCAAGUGAGUUCACUACUACACUUCUAUUUAUUUAUUUUUUAUGUUUUAUUGGAGAGAUAAGAGUUGACAUCGUGUGACUAGGAGGUCAAGGUGUUCAAGUUGAGGAAAUUGUCUCUUGCAUUUAUGCUAAGUAAGGUUGCAUACAUUAGACCUGAUAUAUAUGGUACAUGGCCUUUCCUGGAAUCUCGUGCAUAGCAGGAAUUUAAUGUAUUAGGUUACCUUCUUUUUUUUUAGCGUAAUGAUAAGUAUUGUCGUCGUGUGACCGGGAGGUCAUUAGUUCAAGCUGUGAAAAUAACUUUUUGCAGAAAUACAAGGUAAGGCUGCAUAGAAUAAACUUGAUAUAGUUCAAACCUUCUCUAAACUCCGCACAUAACAAGAGCUUAAUGCACAUGAUUGCAUUUUUUAUUUUUAUUUUAAUACAAUAAUAAGAGUUGUCAUCGUGCGAUCACGGGACACAUGUUCAAAUAGUGGAACAAAUGCAAGAAAGGUGGUGUAUAAUUGACCUAGUGUAGUCCCUCCCUUUCCUAGAUUCUACAUAUAAUGGGAGCAUAGUGCACUAAGCUACCUUUUUAAAAAUAAAAAAUAAAAAACACAUAAAUAAGAGUUGUUGGCAUGUGACUAGGAGGUCAUAGAUACAACCUCCUCCAAAAAAUACAAGAUAAGAUUACGUACAAUAGAUCCAAUGUAGUCCAACCUUCCCCGAUCUCAUACAAAGCGGGAACUUAGUACACCGAACCGCCUCCUUGUUUUCCUCAAAAAGUUUAGCACACAAUAACAAAAUAUUACUAAUAUUAACAUUCUCAUUUACAAUAUCAUAUUUGCAGGAAGGAUACAAAGUUGAUGAUGAAAUUGGAAAACUAGAAUGUGGACACUACCAUCACAUUGAGUGCAUAAAGAAAUGGCUUAUGCAUAAAAAUGCAUGUCCUAUUUGCAAAAUUGCAGCAAUCUAUGAAAAUUAAUUCUUGACAAAAAAUUCUUUCACUUUUCUCUAUUUUAUAUUAUAUAGUCAAGAACAUUAAAUUUCAGAGGCAUAAAUUGAUUUUUGGUUUUAAUUUUUCCUAUUUUUGGUUUGUUAGGAGUGAGAUUGAAUGAUGUUUCUCUACUUCAAUUAUAUAUGUUUGGGUUUGGAAAUUUUUGUAUUAAUAAGUUUGUUAUUGAAAUUCCCCUUAUUUACUUAGGAGUUGCUAUGUCUUAGGAAUAGUAUUUCAAAAUAUUACAAAGAUAUUAGGGAUAAGAUAGUAAAAGACUUUUUUUUUAUUAUUAUUUACCAAACGCGUAGAUAAGCUAGAAAAUGCUUAGCCAAACACCUACCUCAUACCACUUCAUCAUCUCGUCACUUAAUGUAUCGUUUGUUUUCACCUGGUGUACGAUACUCAUUUAUUAGUCCUGAUUAAUUUAUAUCCGCACCACGUAAGACCAUUAAAGAGGGAGGUGUUCUUUUCAAGCAUUGGUUAAUAUUCUAAAUAAUAGUCCUAAGUGGUUAUAUAUGUAAAUCAUCCAAUCAAAAGCCAAUGGUCCACAAAAUGAUUGGGCUUACAUACACUUCUCAGUUUUGGGCCUAUUGGGCUUUUAAAAAUUAGAAUGGUAAGCUCUACUGAAUGCAAAGAGUAACGGUCCAUCAACAACAUAUCCGUUAUAAUCUCACAAAGUGAGGCGAGUAAUGCUCCAUUUCGGAAAAACAAAAAGCAUAUUAAAAUUGCUAAAUUGUUGUAUCGACUAGCGGUAGUAAAAAAAUUUUGACGAGUGAUCAAAUGUUGUAACUUUGUCUAAAAAUUUAGCCUCGUGGAUAACAAAAUCGCCUUUUAUUCGUCUUUGCUCAAGUAUAAACCUGAUUCGUACAUUACGUGCGAUGAGCUUUUUCCCCGAACCAAAUUCUAGGGGCAAUUAUUUUUUACAUGCACCAUCAAAUUAUCCUAAGAUAUUUAUAGGUAAACCUUCUUCAAAUAUAAAUUUUAUAAUUUUAAAGUAACAUAAUUACUUGUUAUAUAUAACACGGUUGUUUCAUUAAAAUAAAGUAAUGGAGUAGAAAAAGGAGAAAUUGAGAAGUAAAUUACAAGAUGAAAAAUCGAACAAUUACAAACAAGAUGAAAGUUCAGCAGCCAAACAACUAAAUUAUUAAUAUAACAGGUAAAAAUAUCUAAUAAUAUAAUAUAUUUUUCAUGGUGGGGGUCAGGGAGGGUGUAGGUUUGUAGUCCAAAUCACAUGGAUAGUAUCUAUGCUACUAUGGCAAUAAAAACAAAACUAAUUAGUACAUGAAGAUUUAAUUGUUGAUAUGGACAUUGACAAGAUGCACAAUACUACUUUAUUUUUUUUCGUUUUUUAUUUGGUGUCUAAUAUCUGUAAAAUAUUGGAUUAAGAUUUGAGUUGAGAAGGUUUUAAGUUAAAUAAAGAUAAUUAUGUAUAGAACCCGAACUCAUUUUCUAGUUAAGAAUGAAUAAAUAUUUAUCAUUUAGUUACGAUAUUUCUUAAUGCACACCAAAUAUCAUCAAAGAUUGUAGGAUGUGAUUAUAAGUAUGUAUCAAUUAUUAAUUAGAGGUCUCAAAUGUAAACUCAGAGUACAGAGUCAUCUUUAAUAAAGAAUAUUUUACCUUAUAAAGUGAAUUUUCAAUAUGGAUACAAAUAAAUCAAACUUAAAAAAAAAUUAAAAAAAUGAAGUUACCAAAAAAGUCAUAUUUAUCAUAAUUGCUAUUCAAAAGAAGUUGUUGAUGCAAAAGACAAAAGAAACUGGUGCUGGCUGUGCAAUGGCAAGGAGUCAGCAACAAGGACACUUGUUGGUUAAGGUUAGAACAACCUUCGAUUAGAGAUGAAUUUAGAAUUUUAAAAUUACUUAUUGAAAAUCUAAAUUUUAAAUUACAUUUUAUUUAUAAUUAUUUAAUCAUGAAUUAAGUUACUAUUAUUAUAUAUUAAACUUAAAAUUAAUAUAAAAAAAUUAUAAACUUUAAAUUUUGAAUUUAUCUAUGCCGAAAACUACUUGAUACCAAUCACAAAAGUUACAAAAACCUCGUACUUUCUUUAUGGUAAAAAAGAAAUCUUAAUUGGCUCUACAUAUUAGAGAUUAAUUAAAGGUGAGGUGCAAUUAAAUUAAUAGUACAUGGUACCAUAUCAAAUGUGUCGAGAAUCUUUUAAUUGAUAUUUUAUGUUUCACUUUAGACAUAAAUUUUAAAAAAUCUACCUUAUGUAAGAUCGUUUAAGUAAUAUAUACUGCCAGUGUAAUUUAUUUUUUAUUACAAAUAUUUAAUUUUAUGAUUUUGGUCCACUAAAAUAAAAGUUGAAUAACCAUAUAUUUGAAUUUAACAGGAAAAAUGUAGAAAUGUUAAACGUACAAUUGAUGUUGACUCAACAUGUGCAUCUUUUUUCAAGAAAAGGAAAGGUGGUGGACUAGAAUUGUAGUAGUAUAUGUAUGGCUAAAUUAAAGUUUCUUUCACUUUUAAUCAGAGGUUUCGAGUUUGAAUUUUUAAAAUAAAAAAAAUUAUGUUGAGAGUGUCAUCGUCUCCAGAACUGGAUUUUGUGAUGCAUGAAUUUGGAUUUAGUCAAACUCUAAUGCAAAUAUUGAAUGAGAAUACACAAAGAAACUCAAUGGGAUGAUACCAAUAUGGAUUAUAGUGGGAUAUUGUGAUCCUAAUCUUCACCCUUAAUCAGAGAAUUUGGAUUCGAAUUUUGGGGAAAAAAAUCAUGUGGAGAGUGUCGUUGUCUCUAGAAAUGGGUUUUACAAUGCAUGAAUUUUGAUUCUGUUGAACUCCAAUGCGAACAUCGGAUAAAAAAAUAAAUAGAAACACUAUGUGUUGAUAACAACAUGAGUUAUAGUAGGAUGGUUGUGAUCUUCAUCUUCACCAUUAACCAGAGAUAUCAGGUUCGAACUUCAUGAAAUUAAAGAAAAAAACAUGUUGGGAGCGUCGUCGACUCCAGAAAUGUUGCAAUGCACAAAUUCAAAUUUAGUCGAGCUGCCAGAAAUGUUACAAUGCACAAAUUCAAAUUUAGUUGAGCUGUAUUAUAGAUACCAGAUGAAAAACUAAAAAGAAAUUAUAUUGAAUGAUAUCAACAUGCAUUAUGACGGGAUGAUUGAUUGUAAUCUCUUUAUCCUUAUCAAAUAUUUCAAAUUUGAGCUUCUUAUAGAAUGAAAAGAUUCUAUUAAAAACACCUCCUUAGAAAUAGACUCUACAAUAAUACGCUAUCCAAAUAUAAUCAAAUUCUAAUACAAAUAUCAAUUAAAUAAUAGGAAAACUAUAUGGGCUAGUGAGUCAGAUUUACCAUAUGAUGAUUUGUAGUGGCCACAGUUAUGAACAUUUAAUACAUAGACAUGACUUGUUCAAUGUUGGACCAUUUAUAAUGUCAUGAAUUUUAACAUAAAAAUAUUUUUUUUCUCCAAAAGGGUUCUAGCCCCUCAUAUUUCAAAUAAAGAUCGCCGUGUGAAAAAUUCGUGUUAUUUUUUUGGAAGGGUGGGGGGAGGGGGUUGUCGCCAUUGGUUUACGAAGAUUUUAACAAAGAAGAUUCAUAAUAUGAAAAAGUAAUAUGCGAAGAAAUUAAGAAAAUUCAGUUCAACAUUGUUGAUUAGGUCAUGAAAUAUAAUAUAGAAUUUUUAUUUAAUACCUCUACCGUCCAAUCAUUGCAUUAGUGAUACAUCAAUUAUUUGUUUCCUGUACAACCAAAUAUUAUAUUAUUUUAUAUAAAAUAUUAUAUUAAAUUACUUUUUUUUUUAAAAUCAAAUAACCCUUAAUAAAUUAUGAUAACGAUAAAGCAAGAGAAGAGAAGAGAAUUUCAAAUUUGCCGCAAAACUUUAAUAUAAAUAUGAAAAGAAUACCAAAGAUUUGUCCUGUUAGGAAUUCGUAUAUAUUUGAAAAAAAAAUUCAACAUAAUCAUAUGUUAUUUAAAUUUACCAAGUCAAAUUAAUUCAGAUUCAUAUUGAAUAAAAUUUUAUUACUCCUAAUAUCUUGAAUUUUCACUACCCUGAGUAAAAGGGAAGUAGACAAAAAAAAAAAAAAAACACAAGGAAAUCAUUUUCUAUUAAUAUUUUGAUCUACUUAUAUCUCGAAUUUAAGAUUUCUCAUUAACAACGAAGAAAUUUUAUUCAUCUCUCUACACCUCGAAUACUAUUCCCAAUUCUCACUUUGCGGCAAUUCUUUGAAUAUUGAACCCUACUUAUCCUCUAUCACCAUCUAAGAUCCUUUUUCUCUUUUUUAUUUAGAAUAGGAAUAUUUUUUCUAUUUUAAUUUGUUUAUUUGAUUUUAACUUAACACGAAAUUUAAAAAAGUAAAGUAGAUUUUCAAACCUCGUAGUAAUAAUCUAAAGAUAUGUCAUGUACUAUUAAUAUUUAAUUUUGUAAUCGUAAACAUGUCAGAUGGAAAAUUAGAAGAAUUGCCAAAAAAAAAAAAAGACAUUUAAAAAAGUGGACUUAAAAGAAAAGUAGAUCCAAUAAAUUGAAACAGAGUAAGUAGUAGAUAUUAUUCAUAUAACUAUAUUUCUUUUGAUGACUAUUCAUUGUUUGGUAUUUGUUUCUUCCUUGUUCUUUUACCAAGUUUACAUUAUAAUUUUUUUAAAUUUUGUUUUCAUUUUAUUACCUUUGUUAGGACUAUUUAGAAAUCAUUGUUAAGAGUUGAGAAUAUUGUAAAAAAAUUAUAUAUAUAUAUAGAGAGAGAGAAUGAUGUCAGGACUACAUAGAAAUAAAAAAUAUUACAUAUAGAUUAAGAUAAAAACAUAAUUAAGUUAAUUAUAAAAAAAUAUAUUUUUAAAAAGGAAAGAGAAACUUUGAAGCAUGGAUUAAUAAACUUGUGACAUUUAUUAGUAAAUUUAACUCCUUUGAUUAAUAAUAAUGGCUUGAGGAAUAAAUGUUCUUAAUUAGUAAUAUGUCCUUUGGUUGAAGCUAAAAGAUCAAGCUGACUGCUCACCAAACUCAAAAAUUGGAACUUCACCUAACUAUUUCAUGUCCAAAUUAUUAUUUUUUUUAAUUUCUCGUAUCGUGUUCAGUAUUUAUAUUAGGAAUUUGAUUAAUCUGAAUUUUGUAUUAGUUAAGAUCCAUUAAAGGAAAAAUCGCUUCCUACUAGAAUCUUUUUUAUAUUUAGGACUCAAAAUAUGAGAUUAGAGUUCUGAUUAAAGAUAAAGGAAUCAUAUCCAUCACGUCAUAAUCAUCAUUCAUUAUGCCCUAGUUUGUUAUUUUCAUGUACUCCAUUUGUAAACUUAUUUGACUGGAAAAGGAGUUUUAAAAAGAAACAAAACUUAUAUUAAUUUGUAUUAACAUAUUUUCAAAUUUUAAAAAGUAAAUAGAAUCGCAUAAACUGAACGAAAAAGAGUAAUUUAUAGUUAAGAUUGGAAGAUGGAUGUGUUGGAAGUGCAUACAUAUAUAAAGAGUUAACUAGAACUAGUUAUUAUUGUAUAUUAACGUAAGAUCGUUACAAAAAUUUAAAAAUUCAAAAACUUUAAAUUCUAAAUUCAAUUCUAGAUUUAAAAUAAAAACACAUUCACAUCAGCUAUUUUUACACCAAAACACACUAACUUACUAUAGAUAAUUAAUAUAGUGAGAUGUUAACAUAUACUAUCUCUGCUUCAGUUUAUAUAACUCACUUUUUGUUAGUCAAUCAUAAAAAGAAUAAUAUAUUUCUAUACUUAAUAACAAUUUAACUUUAAAAUCUUUAUUUUAUCCUCAAUAAAAUGAUUUAUAGUUAUACAAACAUAUACUCUGACUUAUUUUAGAUCAUAAUUUCAAAAAAUAAUUAUUUCUCUCUUAAACUUUAUAUCAAAUCAAAAUACACUACAUAAGUUGGGAUGAAUGAUGAAAAAAACAUCUAAUGUAAGCACAUAUUAAAUUAAAUAUUGAUUUGUUAUAAACAUCGAAUACAAUUAAAUUUUUACUGUUGUUAUAGUUGAGAACACAUAAAAGAACCAUAAAUGAAGAUUCCCAAGAAGGUCAAAAUUUGUUAUAAUUGCAGUUUCAAAAUGAGACAUAAACAUGUGCUGGCUAUGACAUGGCAAGGACUCAGCAAAUUAAACUAAAAUAAAAGAAAAUUGCCAGCUUUUGACAUAAAACAUUGGGAAAGACAAUCCAAAUCUUGCAUAAACUGAUUGGUAUUAAUUACACAGACAAUUUUGUCAUAAACCUCGUACCUUUUAAAGUAUAUAAUAUUUAAUCUUAAUCAACUUUGUUAAUGAAGAUUAAAGAAACCUAAUGAAAAAUGACAUGAUAAUCAGUGAACAAAUAUUACUUUUAUGUGACUCAUUUGAAGUAGGUUGUUUGGUAGCAUAUGAGGAACUAUAAUGGUUCUGGGCACGAUUUGAAACUCGAUAGAUGAUAAACCCGUCCUUCUAAAGCUCGGAUAUGUGAUGUGUGACAUCAUUUGUUGCGCUCUUAUUGCUUGAUAGAAGUCAUGUGGCUCUUACAACUAGAAAUAUUAAAUACAAGAAUGUGAUCUUGUAAUUAAAGAAGUGAAUUAAGAAUCAUAAAGUCUCGGAUACAAAAUCUCAAUGGAGGCGAGGUUUUUUCUUCUCAUCUGACUAAGCAUUGGGGAAUAGAGUUCUUUGGUACCUAUGCUUUCGAAGAUAGCAAGUACCACAAGAGGUUAGUCAAGGUGCACGCAAACUGACUUGGCCACGACACUGCAGUUAUUAUCGAAAGAAUUAACACACUGUAAUUAAACAGAAUAUUGAUCCUAAUUUGGUUCUUACUACGAUAACAUGAAAAUCAGUGUACAGAAUAUUUACAAAACCAUACUAAUGAAUACAGUUGGUAAAAUAAAGAAUACCAACUUUGUAAACAACAGACUGGGAAUGAAGCUGCAGAAAUCACAAAUCUCGAGAUAAUACAGUCAAAUCUCUCUAUAACAACAUUUCACUGUAACAAUCAAGUUCUUAUUGGAGCCGUUAAAAUACAUGUUCUCAAUAUAAGAAUAUUUCAUUAUAGUAGCUAAACAUUAUCCAGACAAACAGUGUCACUAUAGAGAGGUUUGACAGUAUAUUGUAGAACGAGUUAUAUCGUCCUCCAUGAACAAAGAAACAACAAGAUUCAGAGGAGUGAAACUAACAAAUAUAUGCAGGGCAACAUAGCGAUAACUUUGGAAAUCCCUCAAAUCACGACUUUAUAUUUGUUCCGAAAACCAUACAUAGAACUGAGAAUGUACCAUAUGAGUUUGAAAUUUUACAGCAAGAUCUUGUACCAUUAUGCUUUCAUGGGUAAUAACAGCAUUACUUACAGAAGAAAAGAAAAGAAAGACCCCGACUUUCUUAUUACCUAUAACUUACACAUUCGACAAACCAAUAACAAUAAGAAUUCAAACAUUUAAACAGAAUAUUCAAGACAAACUGAACCAACGUUUCAAAAUUGCUUCUUUACGAUCAACUCACAGUUUCAUGCCUGCAAAGUUCUAAUUUUGCUGCUUCGAAUUCUCCACAGGGAGCUGAGAGGAAGUUUCUGCGAAACUUACUGCAGGGGGGGAUGUCAUGGUUUGAUACUGCGCAGCCAAUUGGGGAGUAAGAGCCUGACUGUAGUACAUCUUAGCAUGUGGAUCAGCAAAUUCAUAAGCAUAAUUGGUGGUAGUGGCUGAAGUAGGAGGAAUUGACUGAGAAGGAUGUUGAAUCUGAGAGUAGUUCACGUAUUGUGGCUGAUGCUGGCCAGGAGUGAUCUGAACUAAUUGUGGAGCCGCUGAAGCUGAAGUUCUGUAUGUACCAGCAACCAUUUCAGGAUUAGAUGACGGAUUAUUUCUAGCCGGAUUAUAAGCUGAUGCCGGAUUGACCAUAGUAGGAGGUGUUUGGGAACGAGUAGGAGGGACUGUUUGAGCAGGCUCGGUAUAAUUUGUUUGUUGCAAUGGCAAACUGUAACCUUGGCCAGGUCUAGCAGGAAUAAAGUAAACGGGAUACUGAUGCUCAAGAUUCGGGUGUUGCAUAUGUGUUUGGUGCUGUGAAGGGUACAUAGGAUAGUAGGAUGUCAUAGGCACAUGCCCCGAAGGUGUAUGUUGUAUAUACUGCCCAGCAUGAACAUAUUGUUGGGGUUGGAGCAUUUGUGGGUGCUGCUCAUAUUGUACUGGCAAUGCAUAUCCACCACCACCAUCCUGAACUUGUUGUUUCACCUGAACCCUUCCCAUCGAAUCACUCAUAUUCAGAUCAACUGAAUUACCUGAAAUCCUACCGCUCCCCGACUGGAAAUGAACCCCUGGAUCUUGAUAAAAGUAAUGUCUUUGCCUACCACUACCCUCACUGCACCAAAUUGAAUCAAAAUCUUAAAAACAGUCCCAAAGCAAUCCCGAAAAAAGACGUAAUGGAAGUACA